GAAUAUUCCGUUCUCAAAUAAAGAAAACGUGUUGCAAGGAAUUGGUAAAACGCCAACAACCCAUAUUUGCUGUCCACUUUCCUUUAAAAUUAUUUUUCUUUCGUGUAAAACAUCCACCGUUGAUCUUAAAUGUAACUAUUUGAUCUCGUCCGUUGAUUAGCGCUAACUCUGUGUAUAAAGAUAACGCAUUGAUCUCUUUGGUUACCAUACCCGCUUUUUCCUUAUUAUUAUUCUUUUCAACUUAUUUUUUUUGUGUUCAUCGUUAUCUCUAGAUCUUUCUGCUAUGUCAACGUAUUCGAGUCUUUCCGAUUCAGAUCGUCGGAGUUUCAGCUCUCGCUCUACCGAUCGAUCACGUAUGGGCACGGAUCUAGCUGCUCCGGUUUGAUUCAUGGCGUACGACGGAUCUUAGCGGCGGAGAUCUCCGAGGAUCGGUUGAAUAGCUGGUAAUUAUGCUUAUUCUGAUAACCGAUUCUCAAUUCGAUUUGAUUCCUUUCCAUAGUAUUGAUUUUUCAAUUUCGAAUUCCCAGAUCUGAUGUUGGAUCGUGAUUCAUGAUCUCGGCUUUGAGGUUCGUCGUCGGAUCUGCUAUUUGCGUUGCGGAUUGAUGAGGUGAUGAUGAAUCCGUCAACUCUCUUGAUUCUGGAGAGGAGCGAUUGAAGAAGAGGGAAGAGCCGAAGGAGGAAGGAAGAUAUGUGAAAUGAAAUGAGAUGAGUAUGAAGGAUGUAUGAGAUGUUUGUUAAGGACGAAAAAGCCCCGAUGAGUUGGCUUGAGUUCUGAUUAAGCAUCUUUGUCAUCCGACCUUUGCCAUGACAGGUGCGCUUGCAUGGCAGGUCACCAAAAAAAAUCUCUAAUAAAAAAAAUAGUUUCGUGUUGUUGUGAGGGGAGUUCGCACGGGGAUAUUUUUUAAGCCCGGGUUCUCCCCUCACCUUGUGUCUCUUGCAUCUCGCUCUCACACUCACUCUGAUUCGUUUUGAUCUUAAAUUCCACCAAAAUAUCUCGAUACAGACAUAUUUUGAAUGGAUCCAGAUCGCAGAUCUGGAGUCAAACGCCGCCUAAUCCAACAUACUCCAUGGAGACCAAAAGGUACUUUUAAAUUUUAGUUUCACUUCUCCCUUCAGCCAUUUAACCGUACAACAUAACUUAUCUAACCUCAAAACGGCUUUGAUAUUUGCUCAUGGAUUUCAUUUCAAAAUUGAAUUAUGAAGACUAUUAUCUCGGUAUGUUAAUUUGAAUUGCUUAUCACUUUUAUUAUCCUCUAUAAUAUAACAGCAUGGAAUUCAUAAGGUGUUUAUACCUCUAUUAAAAUUUGCUUGUAACAACUAUUUUGUAACAACGAUCAUCAGAUGCAUCAAUUUUUUUCCUAUACUGUAAGCAUAUUGUAUUGUAUCUUGCAUAUUUUCUAGUGUUGCAAAUGGCUUUGAAGACCUUGAAAGGUUUCCCGGCUAUGCGUAAAUCUGCCCCCCCAAGGGAUGUUAUUUUUCAUCUUGUUGAAAUCAAGAGGUAUAUAGAACAAGUGUGUUUUUGUACAAACUUGAGUUCACAACUCUUGUUUCUAAAUCUCAACGGAGUAUUUCAUUCUUUAUUUGAGAUAAAUGUUGAAUUGUAGUAACAAUGUUUUGCACUGUAUAUACUAUGAAGGGAUUUGUUCUUUUAAAUUAUUAUAGUUUUUGUUGAUGCAUUUGUGUUGAGUUUCACUUCCAGUACUAGAUUUAUUGUUGUUAUAUAACAAUUCUUGAAUAAAUGUUUGGUGAAUGUUAAGGCAAGCUUCAAUUCUUUGAUAUAUAUAUGAUGGGUUAGUGGACUUUGUCUCUAUUGUGGAUAGGUUCUCUAGGAAUUUGGAUAAAGAUCGGAACAGACAUCUUAAUCCAUAGAAGUCUAUGCGUUAUUAUCAAUGGGCAAGGUUUGCAUUAGUAGAUCUGUAAGCUCAAAAUGGUAGAGCUCUCGUUACGAGAGGUUGGUGGUUCGAAUCCACCCAGAUCUGUCUACUUCCUCGGAUGUCUUUUUCACGCUUCUUACAUUAUCUUAAUUUCGAAUUCAAUUUGGUUAUGAUAUAUCAGAGUUACUGUACAUAUUAUUAGGGUAUGUGGAAAACUAAAUGGCUGCAAUGAAGGAAAUCUUUUUUUUGGCAAUUGGCGCGAGGGUAAGAGGAAUUGGUCAGUGGUGAAGCAGUGAUGGAUGAUGAUCUAUGUGACUUGAAAUUACAAGCAACUAAGCAAUGACUUUUAACCACAAACGGUUACACAAAAGAAAGUUAAUAUGGCCAUCUCUAUGAUCAUCUGGACUUUGUUUUUGGACUUUGAAAUGAUAAAAUAAAAAAGAACAAUGGUUGGGCCCUAAAGUUCACAUAUCAUAUACUUAGGCAUGAAGUAGCAGGUGGAUAAUAGAAAUUGACCUAACUUCCAUAGUUUAUAGCUUGUGAGCUGAGCUCCAUGAAAGAUCACUCCAUAGUAUACUUUUGCCGAGUCUGAUGAUGAUCAGUAUGACUUUCUUGCCAGAUCAUGUUGUGCGUUUGGUAAAUGGUGGUGUCGUUGUGAGCUGAGCUAAAGUUUUGAUGGUGGUUUUUACCAAUAAAAAAGUUGGUGUCGUUGUGACUAGUGAGAGGACCAAUGAGUUACGUACGUUAAUUGCAUUGUGGGCUAGUAAAAUUGAUAUGGAAUGCCAAAGUUUUGAUGUGGUUAUUACCUAUUAAAAAGUUUUGAUGUGGUUUUUACCAAUAACUGCCCGACUACCCUUGACUUAAUCGAUGAGUUGUUUUUUUUGGAUUAUAAGAAGUCGACGGACAUUAGCAAACAAUAUUAUUUUAUUAUUGGGGGUGAUUGGUUGGAUUUUAUUUCUCUACUUUAGCUUUAUUUAUUUUUAAAUCACUAAAUUUUAUCAAUCAUGUUGUAGCUUUUACCUUUAAAAAUUAAAGUCUACAUCAAGUUUUUAUUUACUUUUACCAAUCAUGAUUUAGCUUUAUCUUUAAAGCUACAGUAAAAAAAAUAAAACAACAUUUUUUUUUAUGUAUUUUAGGCAAAAAUGCUACAUCAUCUUUUUAUAGACUGCAGAAUCCGUAAAAUAAAAAAAAAUAUCUAUAAUAUCAAAUAAAUUAUAUAAUCAUAAUAAAAACUUUUAUAAAUAUUUUAAUUUUGAAUUUGAGUGUUUUUUAAUUAUUGAGAUAUUUAAAUAAUGUAAAUAUUAUUUACAUAUCACAUUUUAAAUUACAAUAAAUUUUGAUAAUUUAUAAAAAAAUAUUAACAUAAAUUAUUUUAAUUCAUAUAAAAUAAUAAUUUUAUAUAUACAACACAUAUUUCAUAUAUUUUACUUCAAAAUAUCUACAGCCUAUAACUUAUAGCUACAACAAAUUUAACUACAACAAAAGUCUCUGCAGAAAAAAUCUACAAUAACAACUUUACAGAUACAACCAAUUUAUUUACACUAAACAUCUACAGCUAAAUUUUUAAAGCUACAGUCGAACCAAUUAUCACCAAUUUUAUCUACAUUCUAGUUGAGACGACCCGAUCGUAAAUAAUAUUCAUUUUCAUACCAAUUUUAUCUACAUUCUAGUUGAGACGACCCGAUCGUAAAUAAUAUUCAUUUUCAUAAAAUAUAUAAAAAACUAUAAAUUAAGAAGCGUUAAGGGUCGGAUUGACGUGACAUGUUAUUUUGUGCCAUUUAAUUACUGGUCUAAUGUCAAUGCUGUUGAUUUAAUCAAAGCUCAAAACCAUAUAAUAUUGCUAACUAUAAUAUUUUAAUUUUAAAUGCCACACAAUUAGUUAAUGUCUUUUUCCACGUUCUAGCUUUUUAUUUGUCCUCCUGAAGUGGGAAUGAUUAGGCUCGCGUCAGGACCAAACCCCAUUGAUCCUUCUGUAUCUUUCGUUCACUAAUACAAAGAGAUCCGUAUCAUCAGGUUUAGGUCGUCUUUGCAUUUUGAUUUUGAUUUUGAUUUUCAUUAUGUUCAUGUUUCUCCAUCAUACGUGUUAUUGAAUUGAACAAGGCAGGCUCCUACUACUUUCAAGUUUCUCUCGACGAACGAAGUUUACGUGAGCUUCAAUCAUUUCAUUGAUCUUGUUUUUCAUGUAAUGCAAAUUUCUUAUCGUUGCUAAUUACUGAAUUUUUGUUAAUAACCUCUUUGAUAUUUUCUCGUGAAUCUAAUAGUUGCUCGUAUUGGAUUAAAACUCUGUUUUUGUGAAACCGUUUCUAGGCUUUGAAGCUGUCCUCCUUAGAGAUUAAAGAUCUUUUACCAAACAUGAGUGCUCACCAACUCGAGGAUAAUUCUCAGCAAGAUAACAAGGUGCAACUAGCUUUUUAGUAUUAACAUAAUUUACUUAAGCAUUAGUAAUAAUAAUUGGGGCCCAUAAUAAUUAUUAAAACCCCUACAAACAUUCAGGUUAGCAAAUUGAAAUCUGCGUUAGGACCACUCUCAGGACAUAGUUUAGUUUUCUGCUCUGAUGCUUCCUUGAGGAGAUACUUGGAUGCUCGUAGCUGGAAUGUCGAAAACGCCAAGCAAAUGAUUGAGGAGACACUUAAAUGGAGAUCAACAUACAAGCCUCAUGAGAUCCCUUGGGUAACUUCAACAUCUAAAUAUCAAAGAUACGUUCAUGUUUGUUUAUUUUCUUCUCUGGUUAUCUCCAGCAUGAAGUAGCACAUGAAGGUGAGACUGGAAAAGUUUCAAGAGCUAGUUUUCAUGAUCGUCACGGUAGGACUGUGCUAAUAAUGAGACCAGGGUUACAGGUAAUUUAAUCGGAUUUUCUGUUUGUUUGUUUUUAAUCUCUUUCAAGAACUCAUAUGUAGUAGAUAUGUCUCUCAUAUAAUUUUAUAAACAGAACACAACAUCAGCAGAAGGUAAUAUCAGGCACUUGGUGUAUCUUCUUGAAAACGCAAUCAUUAAUCUUCCCAAAGGACAAGAACAAAUGUCUUGGCUCAUAGAUUUUACUGGUUGGUCCAUGGCUAAUAAUGCUCCCAUGAAAACAACACGAGACAUUAUCUACAUUCUACAGAAUCAUUACCCUGAGAGACUCGGUAUGUCAUUUCUCUACAAUCCUCCAAGACUCUUCCAAGCAGGCUACAAGGUACAAAAAGUCAUCAUUACAUAAUAAUAUUGUCUUUUUAAUAAAGUUUCAAAAAGCCCUUUAAUGAGUCAUUCAUUUACUAGGCUGUUAAGUACUUCUUGGACCCAAGAACAGCUCAAAAGGUGAACUUCGUGUACCCAAAUGACAAAGCAAGUGAUGAACUGAUGAGAUCACACUUUGAUAUGGAGAAUCUCCCCAAGGAGUUUGGUGGAGAAGCAACACUAGAGUAUGACCAUGAGGAAUUCUCAAGACAAAUGUUUGAAGACGAUCUCAAAACCGCAAAGUUCUGGGGGCUAGAAGAGAAACAGUAUCUGAAACCAAACGGUUUCUCUCCAGCCGAUGUUGUUCCUGAACCGGCCACUUCUCUUGCAUCAGUAGCUAACUGAGAGUUGAAACUACAUAUAAACACAUAAAGAAACAAGAGAAGAUUAUAAACGCUUUAUUCUCAUUGAUGAAGAACCAAUAAAAAAACGUGCAGAUUACUAAGAAAAUUAGUGAGCCGCCAGACUUUUUCAAUGUCCUAGCUAAGCUGACAGACACGUUCCUUGUUAUUGAAGUUAAUGUAUGUUUUAGAAUGUUGUUACCAUGUCUAAUUGUUUGGUGUUUAUUGCUUGAAAAUAUGAGAAUCAUCCUUUUGGUUCUAUUUUUUCUUAAUUUAUUUAGUUAUGAAAUAUUUGCUCAAUUUAUAUCUGUCUGUUACAACCUAAGCAAGUUUAUUUAGCUUAAGAUGACAUAAUGAAAUGUUAAGAGUAAGUAUUUGUUACAAAAUAAGUAUCUAUGAUUUUAUUGUAAUUUAUAUCAUUAAUUUAUCUUUACAUAAAUAAUUUUUUUUAAAAAAUAUAUAAGAAAAUAUUAAUAGUUAAAUAAGGAUAAAACUGAAUAUUUAGCUAUAUUUUUAGUUUACAUGAAAAAAAUAAAACGACAUCUAAUAUGAAAUUAAUGACCAAAGGCAACCGGUUGGAACUGUUCUGGAACCAAUUUUCCUUGGUUAGAGCAUUGGUCUUUGACUCAAAGGUCGCGGGUUCGAAAGUCAACAUUUCAUUUUGGUUAUAAUUGGAUUUAAACAAUCUUCAUGGAUCCAUGGUGAUUCCCAGAUAACAAUCUUCUCCCCAAGGUCGACGACGAAAGAGACAGCCAACAAUGGUUCACAACGCUUACGAUUCCUUUCAGCUUCUCACCAACUGCCCCGCUCGGAUCGACGCCGUCGAAUCCCACAACUCCAAGCUCUUCGCCGGAUGCUACGACGGCUCCCUCCGCAUCUACUCACCCCAAUCUCCCUCCUCCGAGCUCCGCCAAGACUCUUACCUCCUCGAAACAACCGUCACCGGAUUCUCCAAGAAACCCAUCGUGGCCAUGAAGGUCUUGGCCUCCAGAGAGCUGCUCCUCUCUCUCUCGGAGUCGAUCGCGUUCCACAAGAUUCCUAAUCUGGAGACCGUCGCCGUGAUCACCAAAGCGAAAGGCGCCAAUGCUUACUCGUGGGACGAUCGACGCGGCUUCCUCUGCUUCUCUAGGCAGAAGAGGGUCUGCGUCUUCAAGCACGACGGUAAAAAGAUCGGAGCUUUUCUACUCAUUUGUGAUUAAAAAAAGUUUGGAUUUUUAUUUUUUUAUUAAAAAAGAAAGUUUGGAUUUUUAUUGUUACAGGAGGAGGAGGGUUUGUGGAGGUGAGGGACUAUGGAGUUCCUGAUACUGUAAAGUCCAUUUCUUGGUGUGGUGAAAACAUUUGCUUGGGGAUUAGGAAAGAGUAUGUGAUUCUCAACACUGCUAAUGGGACUCUCUCUGAGGUGUUUCCUUCCGGUAGAGUUGCUCCUCCUCUCGUCACUUCUCUACCUUCUGGUGAACUUCUCCUUGGAUUCUCAGCAAGAUAACAAGGUGCAACUAGCUUUUUAGUAUUAACAUAAUUUACUUAAGCAUUAGUAAUAAUAAUUGGGGCCCAUAAUAAUUAUUAAAACACCUACAAACAUUCAGGUUAGCAAAUUGAAAUCUGCGUUAGGACCACUCUCAGGACAUAGUUUAGUUUUCUGCUCUGAUGCUUCCUUGAGGAGAUACUUGGAUGCUCGUAGCUGGAAUGUCGAAAACGCCAAGCAAAUGAUUGAGGAGACACUUAAAUGGAGAUCAACAUACAAGCCUCAUGAGAUCCCUUGGGUAACUUCAACAUCUAAAUAUCAAAGAUACGUUCAUGUUUGUUUAUUUUCUUCUCUGGUUAUCUCCAGCAUGAAGUAGCACAUGAAGGUGAGACUGGAAAAGUUUCAAGAGCUAGUUUUCAUGAUCGUCACGGUAGGACUGUGCUAAUAAUGAGACCAGGGUUACAGGUAAUUUAAUCGGAUUUUCUGUUUGUUUGUUUUUAAUCUCUUUCAAGAACUCAUAUGUAGUAGAUAUGUCUCUCAUAUAAUUUUAUAAACAGAACACAACAUCAGCAGAAGGUAAUAUCAGGCACUUGGUGUAUCUUCUUGAAAACGCAAUCAUUAAUCUUCCCAAAGGACAAGAACAAAUGUCUUGGCUCAUAGAUUUUACUGGUUGGUCCAUGGCUAAUAAUGCUCCCAUGAAAACAACACGAGACAUUAUCUACAUUCUACAGAAUCAUUACCCUGAGAGACUCGGUAUGUCAUUUCUCUACAAUCCUCCAAGACUCUUCCAAGCAGGCUACAAGGUACAAAAAGUCAUCAUUACAUAAUAAUAUUGUCUUUUUAAUAAAGUUUCAAAAAGCCCUUUAAUGAGUCAUUCAUUUACUAGGCUGUUAAGUACUUCUUGGACCCAAGAACAGCUCAAAAGGUGAACUUCGUGUACCCAAAUGACAAAGCAAGUGAUGAACUGAUGAGAUCACACUUUGAUAUGGAGAAUCUCCCCAAGGAGUUUGGUGGAGAAGCAACACUAGAGUAUGACCAUGAGGAAUUCUCAAGACAAAUGUUUGAAGACGAUCUCAAAACCGCAAAGUUCUGGGGGCUAGAAGAGAAACAGUAUCUGAAACCAAACGGUUUCUCUCCAGCCGAUGUUGUUCCUGAACCGGCCACUUCUCUUGCAUCAGUAGCUAACUGAGAGUUGAAACUACAUAUAAACACAUAAAGAAACAAGAGAAGAUUAUAAACGCUUUAUUCUCAUUGAUGAAGAACCAAUAAAAAAACGUGCAGAUUACUAAGAAAAUUAGUGAGCCGCCAGACUUUUUCAAUGUCCUAGCUAAGCUGACAGACACGUUCCUUGUUAUUGAAGUUAAUGUAUGUUUUAGAAUGUUGUUACCAUGUCUAAUUGUUUGGUGUUUAUUGCUUGAAAAUAUGAGAAUCAUCCUUUUGGUUCUAUUUUUUCUUAAUUUAUUUAGUUAUGAAAUAUUUGCUCAAUUUAUAUCUGUCUGUUACAACCUAAGCAAGUUUAUUUAGCUUAAGAUGACAUAAUGAAAUGUUAAGAGUAAGUAUUUGUUACAAAAUAAGUAUCUAUGAUUUUAUUGUAAUUUAUAUCAUUAAUUUAUCUUUACAUAAAUAAUUUUUUUUAAAAAAUAUAUAAGAAAAUAUUAAUAGUUAAAUAAGGAUAAAACUGAAUAUUUAGCUAUAUUUUUAGUUUACAUGAAAAAAAUAAAACGACAUCUAAUAUGAAAUUAAUGACCAAAGGCAACCGGUUGGAACUGUUCUGGAACCAAUUUUCCUUGGUUAGAGCAUUGGUCUUUGACUCAAAGGUCGCGGGUUCGAAAGUCAACAUUUCAUUUUGGUUAUAAUUGGAUUUAAACAAUCUUCAUGGAUCCAUGGUGAUUCCCAGAUAACAAUCUUCUCCCCAAGGUCGACGACGAAAGAGACAGCCAACAAUGGUUCACAACGCUUACGAUUCCUUUCAGCUUCUCACCAACUGCCCCGCUCGGAUCGACGCCGUCGAAUCCCACAACUCCAAGCUCUUCGCCGGAUGCUACGACGGCUCCCUCCGCAUCUACUCACCCCAAUCUCCCUCCUCCGAGCUCCGCCAAGACUCUUACCUCCUCGAAACAACCGUCACCGGAUUCUCCAAGAAACCCAUCGUGGCCAUGAAGGUCUUGGCCUCCAGAGAGCUGCUCCUCUCUCUCUCGGAGUCGAUCGCGUUCCACAAGAUUCCUAAUCUGGAGACCGUCGCCGUGAUCACCAAAGCGAAAGGCGCCAAUGCUUACUCGUGGGACGAUCGACGCGGCUUCCUCUGCUUCUCUAGGCAGAAGAGGGUCUGCGUCUUCAAGCACGACGGUAAAAAGAUCGGAGCUUUUCUACUCAUUUGUGAUUAAAAAAAGUUUGGAUUUUUAUUUUUUUAUUAAAAAAGAAAGUUUGGAUUUUUAUUGUUACAGGAGGAGGAGGGUUUGUGGAGGUGAGGGACUAUGGAGUUCCUGAUACUGUAAAGUCCAUUUCUUGGUGUGGUGAAAACAUUUGCUUGGGGAUUAGGAAAGAGUAUGUGAUUCUCAACACUGCUAAUGGGACUCUCUCUGAGGUGUUUCCUUCCGGUAGAGUUGCUCCUCCUCUCGUCACUUCUCUACCUUCUGGUGAACUUCUCCUUGGGAAGGUAGCAUAUGUUGUUUGUUUGUCAUGUGUGCUAUAUUCUUCUUUGUAGUUCCAAUUUUGUCCCCUUUUUGUGUUGUUUUAGUAGUUUCUUUUUGUACUUGGUAGGAUAACAUUGGAGUAUUUGUUGAUCAAAAUGGGAAGCUUCUUCAGACAGAGAGGCUUUGCUGGUCAGAGGCCCCAACAGCUAUUGUCAUUCAAAACCCCUAUGCUAUAGCCUUGUUGCCUCGACGAGUUGAGGUAUAUAAAGCCACUUUGCCUUCUCUUUAGGAACCUGUUAUGCCUCAUUUGGAUUUGUUUUGAUAGGUUCGCUUGCUGCGAAGCCCCUAUCCUUUGAUACAGACGAUUGUUCUCCAGAAUAUUCGUCACCUUGUCAAGAGCAACAAUGCUGUGAUUGUUGGUUUGGAUAACUCUGUUCAUGCUCUCUUCCCUGUUUCUAUCGGUGCUCAGGUACUCACUCAUUGCUCUGAGAAUGUUUGGUUUUUAAUUUUUUUUUAUUUUGUUUUGAGAAAGUUAAAGUGUCUUUGCAGAUUGUGCAACUAACAGCUUCUGGAAACUUUGAGGAAGCCUUAGCUCUAUGCAAGUUACUCCCUUCUGAAGAGUCAAGCCUAAGAGCUGCGAAAGAGAGUUCGAUUCACACAAGGUAUUUAAAGCUAGAACUUCAAUAAUGCUUAGUUCCAUGGGAAUCUUUAAUUUCAUAUUCGCUUUCUCUUUGUCAUGAUACAGAUUUGCUCAUUAUCUGUUCGAAAACGGGAGCUAUGAGGAAGCCAUGGAGCACUUCCUGGCAUCUCAAGUAGACAUCACGCAUGUACUCUCCAUGUAUCCGUCCAUCCUUCUUCCUAAAACAACAAUGAUUCCUCCACCGGAUAAGAUGUUAGACAUUUCUGGAGAGGAAGCAUCUCUGUCAAGAGGCUCAUCCGGAUUUUCUGAUGAUAUGGAGUCUUCAUUUUUGGAAUCUGAAGGCAAUGCAGCUCUUGAGUCUAAGAAAAUGAGCCACAACACUCUGAUGGCUCUUAUAAAGUACUUGCAGAAGAAGAGACCAAGUAUUAUCGAGAAGGCUACUUCUGAAGGAACAGAAGAGGUCAUUUCUGAUGCCGUUGGCAAAACUUACGGAGCGUAUGACUCUUCCAAGACUAAGAAGUCCAACAAGGUAAUAAUAGCUGAUUGAUGAGAGAUGACUACUUGGAUGAUGAUAACAUUUUUGAACAACUUUUUAUCUGCAGGGACGUGGUACGAUCUCGCUUAAUUCAGGUGCGAGGGAGAUGGCAGCGAUUCUUGAUACAGCUCUUCUCCAAGCACUUCUACACACUGGGCAGUCUGGAGCUGCUGUAGAGUUAUUGAAAGGUGUCAACUACUGUGACGUAAAGAUUUGUGAGGAGAUUCUAAUGAAAAGCAAAAGUUAUUCUGCACUGUUAGAAUUGUUCAAGAGCAAUUCGAUGCACCAUGAAGCCCUUAAGCUUCUUAAUCAGCUCUCGGAAGAGUCCAAAUCAAACCAGUCACAAACUGAAAUGAAGCAGAUCUUUAGUCCUGAGUUGAUCAUUGAAUAUCUCAAGGUAGGUGAUUUUUCUCCUUGCCUAUCUUUAGAUACUAAGAAACAGCUGUGAUAUGCUUAACUGUUUGUUGGUGGGAUUCGUAUUUUGUAGCCUCUCUGCAGGACUGAUCCUAUGCUUGUCUUGGAGUACUCUAUGCUUGUCUUGGAGAGCUGUCCAACACAAACCAUCGACUUGUUUUUGUCUGGAAACAUCUCGGCCGACCUUGUCAAUUCGUAUCUGAAGCAGCAUGCUCCCAAUAUGCAGGGUAGAUAUUUGGAACUUAUGAUGGCAAUGAAUGAAACCGCAGUUUCUGGGAAUCUCCAAAACGAGAUGGUGAGGAAAUAGCAUUUUCAUUGCGCUUACGUCUACAUAUUUGCUGGAAGUAACAAUUUGGAUGAUGUUAAACAGGUACAAAUCUACCUUUCAGAAGUGCUUGACUUGCAUGCUGCAUUAAGCGCGCAGCAGAAAUGGGAUGACAAGGACCAUCCUCCAGAAAGGAAAAAACUAUUGUCUGCAUUAGAGAACAUCUCCGGAUAUAAUCCACAGACUUUGUUGAAGCGUCUCCCACGUGAUGCUCUCUAUGAAGAGCGUGCAGUUAUAUUGGGUAAAAUGAAUCAACACGAGCUUGCUUUGUCCAUCUAUGUUCAUAAGGUACCUAUCAAUAAUCUUCUCCUGUCACCAAACAAUCUUCUACCUCUUGCUUAUGGCUUAACUCGUUGGUUGUUUGUCUUAUAGCUUCAUGCACCUGAUCUGGCGCUGGCUUACUGUGAUCGUAUAUAUGAGUCUGUAUCUUUUCUACCAUCUGGAAAACCGUCAAGCAACAUCUACCUCACACUGCUGCAAAUCUACCUGAAUCCCAAGAAAAGCGCAAAGGACUUUGCAAAACGGAUUGUAGCUCUAGGAUCAUUCGAGAGUUCAGACACCACGAAGAUGAUGGAGUCUGUUUUGUCUUCGAAAGUCAAAGGAGGCAGGUCCAAGAAAAUUGUUGCGAUAGAAGGUGCUGAGGAUAUGAUGCGAGCUGGUCUUAGUAGUAGCACUGACAGUGGAAGAAGCGACGUUGAUGUUGAAGAGCCCAUGGAAGAAGGAAACUCCACCGUUAUGAUUUCUGAAGUUCUUGAUCUGUUGAGCCAAAGGUGGGAGAGGAUCAAUGGUGCACAGGCUCUCAAGCUUUUACCUAGAGAAACUAAACUGCAGAACCUGCUUCCGUUUCUUGCACCCCUUCUAAGAAACUCAAGUGAAGCACACAGGAACUAUUCAGUUAUCAAGAGUUUGAGGCAGAGUGAAAACUUACAGGUAUAUGUUUUGUGUUCAGGAAGCAAAAGAUCUCUUUAUGUUCUCUUGGAUGAUGAAUCAUAAACACUUAAUAGGAUUGAUUGCAAAUUUUAUGUUGAAACAAAUAGGUGAAAGAGGAACUGUACAAACACAGGAAAGGAGUGGUGCUAGUAACAAGCGACAGCAUGUGUUCGUUGUGCAACAAGAAGAUUGGGGCGAGCGUCUUUGCUGUUUAUCCCAACGGGAAAACGUUAGUUCACUUUGUCUGCUUCAAAGAUUCUCAAGGCAUGAAAGCUGUCUCUAAGACAUCUCAUGGAAGAAGACGAUGAGAUGAUCAUUUACUGUAAGUCUGUAACUAAACACAUGGAAGUCGUUUCCUUGUUUAUCAGUGUGUAGAGCUUUUUGAGCUUUAUUGUUUGUUAUCAUCUUCCCUUUUUUGUGUUUGGGUGAAAAAGAUACGAUGAUCUUGAUGAAAACCAGUUUGCUCUUGUUGUAAAAUCCGUUGGGUUGGAAAUUAAUUUAUAAAAAUGAUGAUGUGUUUUUUUUUUGUUUAGAAAACAUGUAUAAACUUCUUAAACUAAACAUGAUGCAAAAUCUUAUUUGCUUUUCUUUUUAACAACAAAAAUGAAUUUCGAUUGAUAAACAUUUUGAGUGCUAAUCGAUCAGAUUAUUAUAUCAACUAAUUAAUAAAAAUAUAUUAUAUCGUUUAGAACAAGUUUACACAAAAACAGUAAACAAAAUUUUAGUGAAGAUGCUCAAGCAAAAAUUAGAUUACAGUUUCUUAUUUAAAAAGCUUUAGAGAAAGCGUGGAGGCUUGAGCAAGUAGAUAUCUCUCACCAACCCUUUACCCAUUUUGCCUACCGCCUUUAACAUCUCUAUUGGAUUAGUUUCCACUUCAUCUCGUCCUCGUUUCUGUAAUCAAUCAUUACAUAUUUCAUCUCUUCUUCUUUUCGAAGUGUAAAGUGUUCGUUUAAUUCACUUGUCUGUGUCUGACGUGGGUUCGGCUCUCCAAAUGACAAAUUUUUAGUAUUUUAACUAAAACGAAGUCGUUUUAACUCUCCCUCAUAUGUCAUCUCUGCCUAGACAUUGACGCAUUCAAAAAUAACGGUUGACUAACCAAACGUUAGUCAAAAUAGUUUUUUAUGGAAUUCAAACUCACUACAAGAAUUCAUUAAAUUAGCUAUGGGUUGGCAAAGGCAUUUUCGUAGCCAAUUCUUUUACCUACAGAUAUAGUGACAAAACACAUAAUUUUAACUUUGUAGCUAAAUAUGUGGCUAACUGGACCAAUCCGUAGCUAUAUACCUAUAGACGGAUUCCAUUGGUGGUCUAUAGCUAAAUAGCUACACAUUAGCCAGAGAUAAGUGGUUGCUUUUUUUUUUUGUCAUCUUUGAAUUUCAUUUAACUUAAACUGAAGUACCAUCGUUACAUGACAAAAGUCAACAAGAGUCGCAACUCUUCCGAAGACCAUAGCCGGCGAUUUCACAUAUCGAAAAUCCCAGAGACCCAUAUUGAAAACAUAAAUAGAAACCUUACUUUAAAGACUAACACAAAAAGGGAUAAUAACUUGAAAUACUUAAAGAUCAAAGGAACUCAAACCGAAAUCCAUAACUGCACCAGGUCGCCAACCAUAACCAAGAACCUGAAGACGCACGAGUUGAACUCAAAACCAGAGACUUGAGAAGACCACAAUCCAUCAAGGUCACAACCACAACCUCACGAGAAACAACACCGGCGGAAACAAUCAAAAACCAAGGCGCAGAAGGAUCCAAUAACAACCACUACCGCGUCUGCACUAAGACCACGAACAACCCAAGAGAGGAAAGGUACAAGGUCGAACCUUGAAACUCCAAGCGGGGAAAACGACUAGCAUCAAUUUUUUUUAUUUAUAUAGCUAUGACUUAGCUAAAGAAACAUAGUAUCUAAACUUUAUAACUAUUUAGCAAUAAAACACUCUGCAGCUAUGUCGUUGCUGUUAAGCAACAAAACACGUUGUAGCCAUGCAGUCGCCGAUAGCUACAACUAGUUUUCUUGCAAAAUUUGUCGCUAGCAAGCUACAGAAUGGCGACGGAUCGGGUUUAGCAUUGACGCUGACGCCACGGUUCCAAUCCGUAGCAAUCCGUCGCCUUUUGCAUUAUAGCUACAUAUUUUUCUUUCUAGCUACGAAAAAAUCCGUAGCUAUAUGGUUGAUGUCUUAUAGUGAUUAUCGUUCAGUUCGCGUAUGAAAUUCAAAUCAUUAUUCAGUUUGGGUAUGAGAUCGCAAUUAUUCAUUUUUCAGGUCUAAAAAAAGGCACGACCGAAAUUGUACGAGUUGAAAUCACACUUUUCAUUUAUCCUACAAAGCAUGGUUUAAUGGUUAACUAACCAUAAGUUAGUCAAGGUAGGAUUUUAUAUAACGGAGUCAAGUUUGGGUCAAAAAAUCACAGUUCAAGAAUAAUUUUGCACUUAUGAUUUGUUUGGAUCUAAAAAAGCAUGACUCAAAUUGUUAGGGUCUAAGAAUGUCUUUUUCCCUACGAACAUGCCCCCAAAAUUUUCAUAUGAUCAAAACCUUUUUUUUUGCAAAGAUAUCUUAUAUAUUAAAAAAGAAGUCAUGACUUCUUUUCAUGUGUGAUUUUUUUAGUUCGGACCAUUCCUAGAAAAUAUCAUAUUUAACAUAAAUUUAUUAUUAUAUCUUAAAAUAUCUUUAUCUUUUUAUUUGAAAUACAAAUGAAUAUAUUUAAAAUAUUCUAACAAAAUCUUUUUAAAUCUUUUUAAAUUUACUUUCAAAAAUUAGUUAGUUUUAAUUAAAAUUAUAUAAAAUAUAAUUAGAAAUUAAAAUUGAAUAUAGUUUUGGUUUAUAAACGAAAAUUUAAAUAAAAUGAAAUUAAUAAAUUUCACAAAUACAUUUACUAAUAAUUUUAAAAGAUUUUUGUUAGAAAUAAAUAUUUAUAUUUAUAUUUAUUUUAUUUUUUUCAAAAAAAAAUUCUAAUAAAAUAAAAAUCAUGAUUUUUUGAUGAGUGAUAUUUUUAUUUGGACCAUCAUUUAAAUUUUAUAUUAAAUGUAUAUCACUAAUGCUAAUAUACAUAAUAUUUUUAACUACUUUAAUCAUAACAUCUUUUAUAUCUUUUAAUUUUUUUAAAAAAAAAUUAAAAUUCUAACAAAUCUCUUUAAAAAGAUUAUAAUAAGAUCUUAAUUGUCAUAAAUUGAAUAUAAAUAUUUUCAGCAAAUUUUGUAAUUAGUAAUGAAAUGUUACUAAAAGAAUAAAAUUAUAUCCUAUUUUAUCAAUUUUAUAAUAAUAUCUAUCAUUUAAAAAUAAAAAUAUUAUAUUGAACAAAAUAUGAUAAAAUUAUUUUAAAUUGAUAAGUUAAAAUAUUUUACUUUCAUAAAUAUAAAAUAUUUAUGCUAAAAAUAUAAUAUGUUGGUAGAACGGGUUAAUAUUAGUAAAAUAUAUAAUGCAUGUAUAAAAUUUAACUUAUCUUAAACUUUUUAAAAUACAGUAAUUUAUUAUAUAAAAUUAAUAAACAUUAAAAAAUUACUAAAAAAAUCUAGCGAUUUGAAUUACGGAUCAUAAUUAUAAUAAAUUAAAUACAAAAUUGUUUUCAUAUAUGUUGUUUCAUGCACUAAAAAUUUUAGUUUAGUAAUCAAACGCAAAUUCAAUAAGACAAAUAUAUAAUAAGCAGCAUAUAUAUGUGAUGAUUUUAAUUUACAGCAUGAAAACUAUAAAAUUAUUAUAUUUGGUAUAAUUAUACAAACAUUUAAAUAUGUGAGUAACAUUAAAAAUAUAUAAUAAUUAUGUAAAACAAAUAUCUAUAUAUAUAAAUGUGAAAAUAUAUACCCGCACGGUUGUGCGGGUGGAAAUCUAGUUUAAUCUAUUAAAAACAUUAAAAAAAUUAUUGAUUCAAAAAUAUAUGCCUGACUAGUCUACGAAUUUUAUUUGAUUAUUCUGACAAGUAUAUACAAUAUACCUAUAAAAUUGAAACUAGAUAAAUGUAACCACAAAAUUGCUAAUGCCAGUAACCUUUGUAUCGAACUUAAUACAUAUUUUAAAAACCACAAAAUAGUUAAAAUAAGAAAAAAAAAGUUAUUAAGCUUUUGGUCUAUAAUAAUAUGCUGAAGUAGUCACUAAGGGGGGUUAUUGGGAGAUGAAUAUGUGUAGAAUUUGUGAAUUUUAAGAAUCCACUAGAUCUCGACCCGUGCAACCGCGCGAUUUUUUGUUUUUAUUUAUUUUUAUAUAAAAAUUUUAUUUUCAAUUCUAAAUUGGUAUAUAUUAUAAUAUAUGUGUCUAGCAACUUUUAAAACAUAAUAAGUUUAUGAUAUAUUUUUUUCAUUGAAUAGAUUAUUUUAAACUUUCAUAUGUAUUUGUAUCUUCUUCUAUAUAUAUAUUUUCGAAUUAUUAUUUCAUUAUUAAAAUUGUAACUAUAUAUAUAAGAUUAGUAAAAUAUUGUUUUAUUGUCAUAUUCAAAGAUAUUGUAACAUUUCACAAAUUUAGAAAGUUUUUAAAAACUUUUCGGUUCAUAGAUUUAUAUUAUUGAGUAAAUAAUUAAACAUUUAGUUUUUGCUUAAUUUUUUAAAUAAGCUAAAUAGUUUAAAAUUUGUUUUCAUUGGUUUAAGGUAGUAAAGAUUAAUCAUUGUUAGAUAAUAUGAUUUUUUUAUUUAAAAAAAUCUUUAAAAUCUUAAUAAUUUUAAAAGUUAACAUCGACAAAUAUUUAAAUAUUUAACAUAUGGAUGUACAGUAUCACAUUUUUGAAUAUAUAAUUAUUUUUAAAAAUAUUAUAUUUUUAAUAUAAAUAAUAAAAAUUACAUUUACAAAUCUUAAUAAUUUUAAAAUCGUUUAAAAAAAACAUUUUCGUAUUUAAAAGAGAAAAAUUUCAAAAAAACUAUUUUUCUAAAUAUAAAAAUUAUAAAAAUGUUCUAAUUUGAAAAAAAAUAUAAAAACAACUUUUAUUUUUUUCUUAUUUUUAUGACUUAUACAUCUAUACCGUAAGAAAUCUAGUUUAAUCUAUUAAAAACAUUAAAAAAAUUAUUGAUUCAAAAAUAUAUGCCUGACUAGUCUACGAAUUUUAUUUGAUUAUUCUGACAAGUAUAUACAAUAUACCUAUAAAAUUGAAACUAGAUAAAUGUAACCACAAAAUUGCUAAUGCCAGUAACCUUUGUAUCGAACUUAAUACAUAUUUUAAAAACCACAAAAUAGUUAAAAUAAGAAAAAAAAAGUUAUUAAGCUUUUGGUCUAUAAUAAUAUGCUGAAGUAGUCACUAAGGGGGGUUAUUGGGAGAUGAAUAUGUGUAGAAUUUGUGAAUUUUAAGAAUCCACUAGAUCUCGACCCGUGCAACCGCGCGAUUUUUUGUUUUUAUUUAUUUUUAUAUAAAAAUUUUAUUUUCAAUUCUAAAUUGGUAUAUAUUAUAAUAUAUGUGUCUAGCAACUUUUAAAACAUAAUAAGUUUAUGAUAUAUUUUUUUCAUUGAAUAGAUUAUUUUAAACUUUCAUAUGUAUUUGUAUCUUCUUCUAUAUAUAUAUUUUCGAAUUAUUAUUUCAUUAUUAAAAUUGUAACUAUAUAUAUAAGAUUAGUAAAAUAUUGUUUUAUUGUCAUAUUCAAAGAUAUUGUAACAUUUCACAAAUUUAGAAAGUUUUUAAAAACUUUUCGGUUCAUAGAUUUAUAUUAUUGAGUAAAUAAUUAAACAUUUAGUUUUUGCUUAAUUUUUUAAAUAAGCUAAAUAGUUUAAAAUUUGUUUUCAUUGGUUUAAGGUAGUAAAGAUUAAUCAUUGUUAGAUAAUAUGAUUUUUUUAUUUAAAAAAAUCUUUAUUGUUUUAAAAGUUAACAUCGACAAAUAUUUAAAUAUUUAACAUAUGGAUGUACAGUAUCACAACAUUAAAUUAUAUCUAUUUAAUUUAUAAUAUCUAUAAAUCCAAUGGAUCAUCUAUUUUUUAAGUCCAAUUAUUGAUAGCCCAAUAAAAUUUUUAGUAGGCCCAAAAUUUAAAUGAUAAGAUUAGAUAUUUAAUGUAACAUGACUUUUUAAGAAUAUGUUUAUUAGGUCAAUUUUUAUAAAAAAUCACACAUUAAUCAAGGUUGUGACUUUUGUUUUACUAUAUAAGAUUGUUAUUGGUUCUUGAAUUUCAAAAAUCUUAUAAAAUAGUCUUUUACAUUUUUAAUGAAACUUCUUUUGGUCAUUUUUUUAAUGUUCUUUUGUGACAAAAUCUUUUAAAAUGGCUAUUUAAGAAAAUUGUUCAAUUUUGUAUGUAUCAAUAUUAUUUUAUUUUUAAUGAAAGAAAUACUCAUAAGACUCACCUUUCAAAAUAUCAUAUGUAUACAUGUGAUUUUCAAAAUCCUUGUGAUAAAAAUACUAGAAAACAAAAUAAUUAUUCUUACUAAAUAUCUAUUGCACGUUAAAUCCAAAUUAUAUGUUCAAAACUAUAAUUCAUUACAUUUAUAUAUUUUAACAUUUUUGAAUAUAUAAUUAUUUUUAAAAAUAUUAUAUUUUUAAUAUAAAUAAUAAAAAUUACAUUUACAAAUCUUAAUAAUUUUAAAAUCGUUUAAAAAAAACAUUUUCGUAUUUAAAAGAGAAAAAUUUCAAAAAAACUAUUUUUCUAAAUAUAAAAAUUAUAAAAAUGUUCUAAUUUGAAAAAAAAUAUAAAAACAACUUUUAUUUUUUUCUUAUUUUUAUGACUUAUACAUCUAUACCGUAAGAGGUAAAAUAGUCUUUUACAUUUUUAAUGAAACUUCUUUUGGUCAUUUUUUUAAUGUUCUUUUGUGACAAAAUCUUUUAAAAUGGCUAUUUAAGAAAAUUGUUCAAUUUUGUAUGUAUCAAUAUUAUUUUAUUUUUAAUGAAAGAAAAAAAUAAAUAUAUUCUAUAUUUAUUUUACAAAAAAUGAUAGAAAAGAGGUAAUACAAAUUCAUGAAAAUCUAUAUCAAUCUAUAAAAUUUAUGAUCAAAUUUCAUAAGUUAAUGUAUAUAAAUUUUCACAAUCCAUAUAAGUUUUUUAAAUCUAUCAACUCUCAAAAUUCACAAACUCUACACAAAUUCAUCUCCGUAAAUAUGUUAAAACGCCUGUCUUGUGUGCAAUUUCUUUCUACGGUUCAAAAGAUUGUCUCAUUGUCGUGCAUGUUGGGUAUUAUUAAUGAGUCGGUUUUAGAUUUUAAAGAUAACUAGGAUAAGACAUGCGCCUUGCGCAUGGCGAAUUUAUAUGAAAAUUAUUUAAGAAAUAUAUUAUGGAAAAAUAAAAUUUAUAUUUUUGAUCGAAUAAAUAUUUUUGGCCCUUAAAUAUUUUUUUAAAAACUUUUUUGUUAAUUUUAUAAUUUGUUUACUGAUGAGCUUAUCCCAUUUUAAAAAUAUUUUAGGUAAAAAAAUCAUUUAUCGCAUAAGAACCUAACGUUUACGCCGAAGAAUCUCAGGCCUACUAUUUGGUUACAAUGACAAUAUGAGAGCUCGGUUUUAUAUCAUGAUUUAGCAAUUUAAAAAUUAAUUAUAGUUAUGAGAAGUUUACGUUCACGUGUCACUCUUAAAUAUCUUCAAUAUUUUUCUCAUUUUUGUGUCGCUUCUUUCAUUUCGAUUAUUACUCGAUAUAAAUAUUGAUUUUUGAGUUUAUUCUCAUGUCGUUAUUUUGUUUUGGCCUGAGAUUUAGAAAAUGUUUAAGAUUUAAAAUUAUCAAAGAGAAACAUACUUAGGUUAAGAUCCGCGUCUUGAGCAUUACUUAUUUUAUGUCUUUCUGUAUAUUAUGAACUAAAAUAAUAAUAAUUAUUAUAUAUUAUAUAAAUAAGAAAUCAGUUACUAUUAUGUAAUAAAUUAGUCUGCGCAUAUAAAUCAAACGAUCGUUCUUGUUUAUUCGCAAUCAUUCUAUGGUAAAUAAAUCAAAACAAUCAAUCUUAUCUAUCAUAUAUGAUAUAUACUUAAAUUUAAAUGAUAUUAACAUAUAUAUAUAGUAUACUUUUAAUAUGGAUAUUUAUUAAAUGAGGUUUCUACUCAUAUGAUUUUAUGAUUAUUUGCAUAUUUAUGUAACAAAAUUUUACACCAACGAAUUUUUUUAAUGUGGAAUGUUUAGUGGUUUCAAUAAUUUAUAAUCAUUUAAAAAAUGAAGAUUUCAAAAUUAAAAUAUUAACUUUUCAAUAUAUGUUCCACGUAAAUAUUAAAAUAUAAGUGUGUAUUUUCAUAUGAUAUAUAUAGUAUAAUUUAAACGAUAUGAAACAUAUAUAUGUUAACAGAAUCACCUAUUAAAAUUUAAUUAUUUAUUCAUAUGAUUUUAUAAUCAUUGUAUCUUAUUAUAGAAAAAAAUUUAAACCUUGAUCACAAAAGUUUAUGUGAGACUUUUAACAGUUUUAGUAAUUUAUAUUCGUUUUGAAAAAUUCAAAAUACAACAUACACAAAAAAAUCUAAAUUUUUAUUAUAUGAUUAAUGUAAUUAUGUAAUUUAUUUUAAUAAUAAAUAAUUAAACAAAAAUGAUAGAAAGUAUACAGAUUGUUAGCAAAUUUUUAUUAUUUAAAAUCAUUAAUUGAUAUAUUUAUCUUAAUCACAUUAGGUAAUUCUGUAUGUUUUAUUUAAAGAAAGAAUUCAAUUUGAUAAAUGAAUGGUUCAUAAUGGACAUACUAUAUAAUAUAAUAUUAUAUUCCCUAGCAAUUUAAUUUUGGACUAACAAAAUUCUCAAUUGAUUUUCAAGUCGUCACGUAAGCUAAUUUAUCAUUCUAAUUACGUGACAACUCAAUAUGAUAUUUUUUUAAUUAAUACAAACUACACGUUAUAACUUUUUAAAUGUUUCUCUAUUAAUAUAUAGGGGAUUAUGAUUAUUAUUUUAUUACAUAGAUGCAUAUUUGGCCGGCUACAGAGAACUAUAUGAGGUAAAUUACUAGUAAUUUCUUUGGAGGGCGUAUUAAAUUAGUAAUAUGUAUGACUUAAGUUCUUUUUUUUUUGAACAUAAACUGACUUUCAUUCAAUAUUGAUCUUCUUCAAUACAAGGACAAAAGGGAAUUAUCCAUCCUUUUUGGCAAUAAGCAUAAACUACAACACAUAAAUAAGCUAAACAAGGUAAGUUUUCAGAAGAAAAUGACAGCGAAUUCGAGACAAUGCUCGAAUGCGUCGGUAAAACCUUCACGACAAUGUCGGAGAGCUGGAGAAUAGAAUGAGAUGAUAUAUAGAAAUACAAUUGGUGGUCAAACACCAUAAAAAAGUUACAAUAUUGAUAGAAAGAGAAAAAAAACCGUAGGUAUGCCGUGUAUUUUGUUAGUAAGCUACUCUAGUUUUGGCAUGCAUCAUGCAUGCACAACAACACCAUGAUUUUAUAUAUUACCAAGAAAUGUACUUUAGUCACCUACUUAUAAAAUACAUGCAAAUGGAGGGUCAAGAAUAGAAUAAGAUAAGAAGUCACGUGAGUGAAGAGAGACGACAAGAAAAUGUGAAAUUACAAAGUCGAACACUUAGUGUCUUGGGGUGAUCGUUAGUUUUGGUGUUCCAAGAAGCAAAUUGUCAAGGUCUGUGUGUGUGUGAGAGAGAAGCAUAUUUUGGGAAAGCGGUGUGGUCGUCUCAGUUGAACCAAGAAAACAUCAAUCUCAAGACCGAUCCGAUUCUCUUUGUUCCCUCUCUCUCUGGGUCUCUUGGUGUUGUUUAAAUCUUUAUAUUCAUCAUACUCUCUCCAGUUACACGUAUUUUUGUCCGUUCAUGUUUGGCGGCACACGUCCUCCAACAAGAUUUUUUGUUUUUAAAUCUUAAAACCAAAAUUGAUGAUUAUUUUUUGCUUUGUUUACGUACUACAAACUUAGUUGACAGGCAAUUUUAAAUUUAAAAGACUAGAUGACACCGCAUUUAUGUUAAAAGGUCCACACGGUAAAUAAGAUGUAUGUAUCUAAUAUCUUAGAUAUCAUACUAAGCAUAAUAAUUAAGUUUAUACAGUGAAUCUUCUUCUUUGAAAAUUUUAUAUAUUGAAUCUUCUUCUUUAAAAACAAAAAAAAUGAUGAUUUUUUUGCAGGCAAUGAAAAUGUUGACUGUUAAUUUUAAAAGAUCGAUAUAUAACUUAAUACUAGAUUUUGACCCGCGCGCUUGCGCGGGUGUAUAUUUUGAAAAAUAUGUUGAUAUUUGUUUUUCAUGUAAUUAUUAGGAUUUGGAAAAAUGAAUCCGAGGAACAUAACCGAUACCGAUCCAAAGAUAUAGUACCAAACCCAAACAUAAAUUGAUUAAAUAUUCUAAUUAUUCAAAAUUUUGUUAUUUAGAGAACCGAAUCUGAUCCGAACCGAAGUAUUUGGGUAUCCGAAUUUAUCUAAAAAUAGAUUUAUAUACUUAUAUAUAUUAAUUAUUUUUAGAUUUAACGUAUAUAAAACAUCAAAAAUGAUACUUUUAAAUUGGUUUAAAUACUUGAAAAUAUAUAUAGAUAGUCAAAAGUAAAUAUCUGAAAUAGUUAAAGUAUACUCAAAUCACCAAAAAUACUUAAAAUAAUUAUUGAUUUCGUAUCCAAAAUUUUAAAUCAAGCCAAUUGAUAUGUUAAGCUUAAGUAUUAUGACAUAUGUUAUUCAAAUUUAUACGUAAUAUAUUAUUUUAUUUAUACAUUUUGAGAAAUUUAAAAUAUAUAAUGAUUUAAGACUUUAAAAAUAAUUUAAAUUAGUUAUCCAAACCCAAACCAAACCCGCAAAGAUCCAAAUCGAACUCAAACCAAAAUUUAGAAACAUUCUAAUAAGGCUGAAAUCUUUGACCCCGAAAACCCAAAAUACAAACCGAUCAGAACUAAACCCGUAUGGGUAUCCAAAAGCCCAUCCCUAGUCAUUAUUAUAUAUCGUAUUUUAUCAUCAUAUAAUUAAUCGUAUUUUAUAUGUACCAUCAUAUAAGUAAUCAUAUAAUUAAUAGUAUUUUAUACAUACCAUCAUAUAAAUAAUUACAUAUAUUAUAUUUUUAAAACUUAAUAUGAAAUAUGAAAACCAUAAUUUGAGUUGGUAUUUCAAAUUGGGCUUUGUAUUAUAUUUUUCUUAUAUAUAUUGACAAUAUUUUUUUAUAAUGGUUAUUGAAAAAUAGUUUAGUAAAAAUCCAUUUUUGAAUAUAUGUAUAUUUUUGAAUCAAUUUUUGAUAUAAAUCAAAUUUGAAUUAUUAUUUUGAUUUGAAAUAUGUAUAUAAAGUUUAAAUUUUGUUUUAUGGUUAGUUUAGAAAAUUUUUUUUUAGGGAAUUAGAUUGACCCAUUUUGGUAUAUUUUAAAAGUGGCCUAGAUAACUUUCAAUUUUUUAAAAAAACAUAAGUCCAUUACUUUUUUUCUUAAUACUACUAUCCUUGUUUUCAAACAAAAAUAUUUUUUUUUAAAAGACUGCAAUCCAUGUUUCCAAACACUCCAAAUUUUUAAAAGUCCUAUUCAAGUUUCCAAACACUCCAAUUUUGUACUUGAGUUUUAAUAAGAUAGAUGUUAUAGUAAAAUGAUCCAAAAUCGACAUAGAACAUCCAAAACGUUAUUAAAGUUCGGCUAAAUACGUUUUGAGGGAAUCUGUUAAAAAAAUUAUCAUCACAAAUAUAAGAUGUAGCUUAUAAUAUGAAUUGUAAAUCCAAAAUUCAAAAUUGUACUUUUCAGGUCAGGAUUAACUGUUGGUUAUAAUACCACAAUAACAGUUCAAAAACUUACUUCAUAAUCUGAAUAUUUUUUUUGUGAAACUGUCAAACUUGGAGAAAACCUAAGUUGUGUAAUAGUUUCUUUCAUCUUAUUAACUUAGCCAAUAUGUUUAUUUAUACAAAUACACAACUUGUAUAGCAAAUUCUUUACAUAAUAGAAUAACAAAUCUAACUUAUACAUUAAUGCUGGCUUUCUUAAUAGUUACAUGAAAAUAUAUUCUAGGUGAUUUUGUAAUCUCCGAGAUCUCUUAAUAAAAACUCAAAUCUGAUUUUUAUUCUUCCGUAAUAAGUCUACGUACCCUUUUGAUCAAACUGUUUCCCGCUUAGAUCAAACUCAGCUGUUUUGCGUAUUGUAAAACUAUGUACAAAACAACAUAGAUCUGAUCCAAUAAAAGAAAAAGAAGAUAAAUGAUAAAGAAAACAUAAAACUUUUCUGUAGAUCUACAGAUUGCACUCAUUUGAUGAGUUCAUUCUCUUUGUACCCUUUUUAUUUUAUAUUUUAAAUUCGAGUUGGAGUUUGCUUCUUUGACUAACCAAUAGAAUCUAUAUCUCGCCAAGCUAAAGAAAGAACACAAUGUUGUUGCUUUUAAAUCAUUGCAAAGUAUCUCAACCGGGUCACCUUUACCUUUAUCCCUUUAUAUUUCACUUCUAACCUGAACAUUGGCUAGUUUUAUUCCCUGACUCCUUAAAAGCACCAAUCUUGACCAUUCAUAUCUCUCAUGCAUUGGCCACAAUCGUGACAAUGAUAAUGUUCAAAUGCAUAUAAAGUUUGUAACGACUAAAGUACGCGUGAAUGUUCAGUUUUACAAUCGUUUGGUAGUAAAUAUUUAGUGUCUUUUUGAGUGAGCUUUCGAUAAGAGUUAUAAUAUUUUUCAAUAGUCUCAUGGUAACAAACCAGUUGAUUCACACUUUAUUAUAAUUUUAUUCAAAUUUCUAGACAUUUCAUCUAAGACUAAAUUGAAAAUGAGUGUUAUAGAUAUAUGAUAUCGCUAUUAUCUGAAUACGGAAUACAAAAUGACGUUUUUGAAUGACAUAACUUAAGCAUAAGAAUGAGAGCCUUUAUCACACAGAUUAUAAAUUAUAAUGCGUGUUAUACUUUAACAUAACCUAUUGCGGUGAACGUUAUCGCCAUAAGGACAUAUAUAAAAAGACACUGCAAAAAUGAGAGUAUUACACGUCGAGUUGGUGAAGCAAGCGAUGACGUGUGGAAGAAGGGGACUGAGAUAUUCGGCUUUGGAGAUAGAUGAUCGUGAUCGGAGAGAGACCAGAUCCUUAGAAGACCGCGACGUCCCCCAGUCACGUGGUCCUCUUUUGACUACAUUCUCUCUUUAACUGCAGAUUGAGCUUGUCAUUAUUAUUUCCUACUUUACCAUUUUAAUAAUUAAAUUAAAUAUCUUCUUUAAUUCAUUAUAACACUGUAGUUUGCUUAGCAGUGUUAACAACAUUUCGUCCGUGCAAAAAGUAUUGUUUAAGGUGAAAUAUAUAUUUAACCAUAAAUGUUUGUCCAAAACCAUAUCUUCGCGCUGCGGUUAUUAUAAUCUACUUAUUGAUUUAAUAGAAGCAUACAUGAAAGAAAAUGAAUGCGAAAUUGUUUAAGAGAUAUGAUAAAAUAACUUAAUGUAUUUGCUACAUUAGAUACUAAAGCGUUCUGUAGGUAAAAGUUAUGAUUUGUAUACGUGACUUCCUUUCUACUUAAGUUAGAUUUCUAUGUAUAAAAUUAUUAGCGUUGUUAUUUAGAUCACCAACCGGACAGUUUUUAAUCCGAAAUAACGUAACUUCAACAAAAGGUCUAUCUUAGAACUGAACCAAAGACCCAACACUAUAUAAAAUACUCAUAAUUGUAACAUCUUUUUAGACAAAAAGAAAAGAAGCAAACCCAUCUAAAUCUAGAGAAUAAACAGAAAAAGAAAGAAAAAAAAACAAUAUGGAUUCAGUUAUACGUUACAUAUAUAACACCGGGACCAAGGUUUGCUCUAUUGUCGACUUAUACCCAAGCUCUAUAAAUACUCUCGCCUAUCUCCACUUCACACAGCAACGUGUAUUCCUUUGUUUUCUACCUGACUCCUCUUUCACCGUUUCCUUAUAACCACUACACAAAACAGACACACACUUCUCUUUGUAUCUCUCAAAAACAAGAGUUUCCUUCUAGUGUUUCGACGAUCAUAUAUCUACAUAUAAUGAUGGGUUUCUCAAUGUUCUUCUCCGAAAACGAUGGUGUCCAUCACUCUUCGGCUUAUGCUUCUGUUGACUGCACUCUCUCUCUUGGAACUCCUUCAACUCGCCUCUGCAAUGACGACGAUGACCGUAGAUUCUCGUCUCACACUUCCAACAAUAUGUCCAACGCCUUAGGCUCAUGGGACUUCUUGCACGGUGGCAAGAAAGGCGGUGGUGGCGGCGGAAAUAACCUAUUGGCUCGUCGUUGCGCUAACUGUGACACCACUUCUACACCUCUUUGGAGAAACGGUCCAAGAGGUCCCAAGGUAUAUAAUAUGCACCCAUUACAUCAAUAUUUAUAUAAAACCAUAUACUAUAUGGUCCAUUUUAAAAAAAUUCUACAUCCAUUAUAACUUUUUUAUUUUUAAUUUGGUCAGUCAUUGUGCAAUGCGUGUGGAAUCCGAUUCAAGAAGGAAGAGAGACGUGCGUCGACCGCCAGAAACUCUACUUCCGGCGGAGUAUCAACCGCAGCGGCUGGCGUUCCGGCCUCCGAUCAUCACGGAGUUACAAAUUAUUACUAUAAUAACAACAAUAAUAAUAACAAUCAUUAUGAUUCAUCGUCGCCUUGGAUUCACCACCAACAUCAAAAUACGCAAAGAGUUCCUUAUUACUCGCCAGCGAAUAACGAAUAUUUCUUUCGUUGAUGAUGUCAGAGACGAUAAUAAUGACCUCACGUCCGACCCGUUCUUGUCUUGGAGGCUUAACGUAGCCGACCGGGCCAGCCUUGUCCACGACUUUCCAAUGUGAUGAAUGAUCGUCACAUAGAUUUUUCCCAUUAAAUGUCUUAGCCUUGUAUACCACCUUAAUUCUACCAACAAUAACAAAAAGAAACCAUGGCCUUGGCCAAAGUAUUUAAUUUUUACUCUUUAUUUCACAUCCCUUAUAUAUUAAAAGAGAAGCAUUGUAAUAAAUGCAUUCACAUUAUAAUAGACACGUGGCAGCUUCACAAUGAUUUGAUAAUAAAUAUGUUAACGCGUUCACACUAUAAUCAUAAAUGUGUUCACACUACGUACUUUGUUAUUUUUUUAAUAUAAAACUCACAUACAUAGUUCCAAUAAAACUCUAGAUUUUUCGGUUCGAAUAAAAAUAGAUAACGAAUCAAAAGCUAAACUAUAUAUAUAUUAUUUUUAUUGUUUACGGAUAAAAUUGAGCAAAAUAUUCAUAAAUUUUGAUUCGAUUUGUUAUCCGUUUUGAUUUGAACCAAAAAAUCUUGAUAUUUGAAACUCUACGAAACAAAUCAAAUACUAAAAUACAAUAUCCAAAAAAGAAGCAAAUCACAAAUACCAAAAUUUUUAGGAUCAUUUAAUAUUAAUUAACUAUAUCUUUAUAUAUUUUUCAACUAUUUUUAUAUACUUUUUACAUAAAUAUACAUGUGCACCUUGAUGUGAGCAUCUUAUAACUAAGUAUUCACCACAGCUGAAGUAUCUAAUUUUUUUGAAAGUUGAAAUAUUUUUUCUUAAUGUUUCUUUCACUAUUGACCAAAUUGUAGUUAAAUGAUUUGUCUUAAUAAUUUUCUUUUCUUUUUCUUAAACUAUUAUCUGUUUAAAAACUAUAAUAUGAAACUAUUGGUUCGACAUGACGACUAUCUAAACUUCAUAAUAUAAAAAUAAACAUAUAAUAUUAAUUUUAGGUUUUUAUCCGAAAAAACCUAAAAAUCAAAUGUUUUAACCGAAUAAACUAAAAUGAAUAUUAAUUUAAAAUAAUAGUUAUAUUUUAGAAGAUUAAAAACAAAAAAACGUAAAACCUAACUAAUAUCCAGAUUAAACAGAUUUAUUGCCUUUUUUAUUAAAAAUAACGAAACUAAUAAUCACAUCCCGCGCAAGGCGCGGGUUAUUACCUAGUCUACUAAAUGUUUUGUUUGGUAUUUAUGUAAGUUUUCUAAAUUUAAAUUCCGUACGAAGGACUUGUGUGUUCUUUUAAUUUCAAAACGUUUCUAAUGUUCUCUCGGGUAAAUGAACGAGUGAUACUUGUACCUACUUUAUAACCUUCUAAGUACGUAUGCUCUACUCUGACCACGAUUCAAGAUCAAAUCUCUUUCGCUUAGUAUAGUGCAAACUUCGUUUCUGAUUCAUAUAUAUCCUUAAGUUCUGUCUUGUACUAUUUUUCUUAUAUUUCAACUAACAACUAUUAAAACAUAUUUGAAAAACAAUUAUUAAAACACAGGAUUCCACUAAAAAUUGUAAAUUCAUGUAUAUUUAUGAGGAAAUUUAGAAGAACCGUAGUUUUGUCUGAUUCUUAGAGCAAGACGAUCAAUAUGGGUCUAUUCAUCAACACUAGUUCUCGUAGUAACUCUAUAGCCAACAUUCAGUUUUCUGACAUGAGUGAAAUUUAGAAAUUGUACAAAGUCAUUCUUUGUAAUAUUUUCAGAAUGCAUCUGAUAAGUAUUUGACAUAUUUUUCCAAACUGAAAAAAUUAAUACUAGAAAUAAAUUCACAAAUAAAAAGCAAAAAAAAAAAAUUAUGCGAAGAAUAUAUGCAUGAUGGACAACAAGAAUGUUUAUAGUAUUAACGCCAAAGUUGUCUUGGAAAUUUAGCCAUAUGGUAUCAGUACUAAGAACAAUAAUCUGGUUAAUUGUCAAAUGAUGAGACUCGGCUCCUCUCUUAUGUUUCCCAUCAGCUCUGAUUUUGCAAUACAAAUAUUCAUGAAUUAUUGUAAGAAAAAAACAAGAUAGGUAAAAUAAAUUUGGAUCAGAAACACAAACUCCUAGCUGAGACUUGUCAAAUGGCAGAAAGUACUCAACGUUGUAGUCUCCAUGAUAAAGUCAUUUGAACUCCUACACCACAGUAGCAUAGCACAUAAGUAAGCCGAUAACAAAACUAUAAAAACUAAUCCACAUACCAUGCUACUAGUAUGAUCUUAUAUAAACAGUAUUGUGAAUUAUUAUAAAAUGUUCAUACAUGUGAUGCAUGUCUCAUUUCUCUACUCCGACUAACUAGUAUGAUAUUGAUAAAUAGGUCAUGUUCCUAUUUAAUGCAGAAUAGUUGGUUGCUUGCACACAUAAGUAAUUUAUUUACACAAAAUGAAAUUCACUAUAGGUGCUGGGAAAGCAAGAUGAGGAGAGAAAGAAAUAGAAAGGAAAUGGAUUCCAUGAGAGUAACCAGAAAGCAAAAAGAUAUGAAAAGGAUGUGAAAGAACUCGACAUGGAUCAAACUCAAGCAGCAGUCUUUGAAGUGUCGAUGCUUGAAUAAUUUACAAUAUUAUCGUAUUCAGCCGAAAGUAAUAUACUAGUAUAUAGGUACUAUCAUAAGCUAUUCAUCACAUACAAUCUUUUCUUUUAGUAAUAAACUAAACAUCUUGUAAAAUAUCAUUACAAACUGAACGCGCGAAUAAUGUCAAUCUCUGAAAAUAUCUUCAUGUGAAAAAAACAGUGUAGAUUUAGGCAUUUACUGGAGAAGAACAAAAAGGUGGACCACUCAACGGGUUGCGACGAAAUACAAAGUCUUACACAAACGUUGAUAAUUUGCAUUUGCGAAGGUUGUGGUCACAAACGUUAUAUCUCACUCAUACCAUGUGAUGUGACUACCACACACUCCUCCAAUGUUAUUUACAUUGUAGUUUCUUUUGGGGUUAAAUUAUUGCAAGAUACAACAUGCAUGGGACCAAUCUUGGCGAUAAUGUCAAUUUUUUUUCUAUCUUCAACAAUCAAGAUUGUCUGAUGAAAGAUAAUAAACCAUAAAAUGAGGCAAAAGUUUGAAUAGGUAAUUUAAAGCGAAAUGGCGCAUCCUUGCGUUAGCAAAGCGUUUGUCAAAAAUAGAUGUCCAUAUUAACAUUUGCAAACAGAUGUAUGAAACCAUAGAUGGGCAGCUAAUUUAUAAUUUUAUAUUAACCAUGAAUGGUCUUUUAUUUUUUACACACGGAAAUAAAAGACCAAAGAAGAAAGACUUUUUCACUCAGAAGUUCCAUUUUCCCUGGAGAAAUAGAAUUGGAUUUAAAAGAAAAUUGUGUAAAUUACUAAAGAAAAUAAAACUUGUUUGCAUGUUGACUUGACCAGUGCGACGCGACACUAAGACCAAUCCAUCCUUUGAAACCAGCAUUACGCGGUUACGUAGAUUCCCGUCACAGCCCAGUUAUCGUCCUUUAAAAUGUGAAAGCUCAACGAGUCACUUUAACACACACUCGCACUCCUCUCUUUCUCAUAAUAGUCUUUUUCAUUUUCUCCAAUCAACAACCAAAGUUUGCACCCUUUUUUUUUGCAAUUCUUCGAGAUCUUUAACACGAGUGACCUUCAAAGACUGUAUCUUACUUUGUUGACAAAAAAAAAAGUAACUCAAUUCUGUUACCUUUAUCUCUGCUCUGCUUUGGUUUGGUUUGUUUCAUUGUCAAAUUGUCUUACAAAUAUAUGUUUAUCAAACUUGGCAGAAUCUUGAAACUUGCUGUGUUAGAUGGGAAUUGACAUCACUACCCGGAUAGAGAAGUUGCCUCAUUCCUUCAAGGUCUGUUCUAAUCAUCUCCUUAUAAUUGAACUUUUUUGCCUUAAGGUUUAGUUAUUGUAGUGACAUGUUUGGUGAUGCUUGCACUGUUUCCAGAUGCACUCUUCCAUGUGCUUAGAGUUAAAGAACUUAGUUGAUAGUAUCAUGAGCAUCUUUCCUGAUAUAGAAGAUGCUCGACCCGGAUCCUCCUCAGGGAUACAGACUCUAUGUUUGCUCAACAAAGCUUUGGAGAAAGCUAAGCUGCUUCUUCAGUACUGCAGCGAAUCCAGCAAACUCUACAUGGUUUGUCACAUUUUCUUAAAUUAAUUUUAUUUGCAAAUGUGCAUUUUUUUUCUUUCUGUGGCCUAAUGUGUUGCUUCAUUCUUCAGGCAGUAACAGGAGAUGGUAUACUCUCAAGAGGUUGUAGAGCCAAGAAGUUAUUAGAGCAAAGCUUAUCUGACAUCAGAAGCAUGGUACCAACUGUUUUGGCUAUUAAGGUUUCUGUACCAAACUAUUUUUGAUUCUUCUAUAAAAAAACGAAGAAUCACUGAUGAGAGUUUUGAUUUGCAGAUAACUCAAAUAGUCCAAGAUCUGAGAUCAACUGUGUUGUCUCUUGAACCAUCUGAAGAAGAAGCUGGGAAAGCUGUUAGAGAACUGAUGCAGCUGAGCACAUCUUCUCCUGAUGAGAUUAGAGAUUUCCAUUUUGCAGCGUUGAAGCUCCAUCUUUCAACUCCUGAGGCCAUUGUGAUUGAGAGAAGAUCCUUAAAGUCGCUUUUUGCGAAACUAGGCGAGCGUGAAGGGGACAAGAGACAGGUUCUGAAGUAUCUUCUCUGUCUUUUAAAGAAGCAUGAGGAGAUCAUUUUGAGAGAUAACUCGUUCACGCAGCUUCAGUCUGUUGAUGAUCUUGUGUGUGCUAGUGCUGUAGAAGCCGGGUGUACUGACUUCAACUCAAGCUUCUCCACUGAAUCAGGAACUGAAGUCACAGACUCUACUCACAGGGAGGUGGAGAUAGGCUCUCUCUCUUCCCUCUUGAAGAUGGCAGAGUCUGGAGCAGACCAUCUCCAGGAAGACGCUAUGAACACACUCAAGAGCCUCUCCUCGAGCAACGAGAUUUGUCUGGAAAUGGUUUCUCUCGGUUUCGUCAAGAAUCUCACAUCUCUCUUGCAACAAAUUGUGUUCAGCAAGCAAUCGAUCAUCAUUCUGAGGAACCUCUGCAACACGGAGAAAGGAAGGGUUUGUAUAACGGAAACACCUGGUUGUUUAGCUUCAAUAGCUGAACUGCUGGACUCAGAUGUUACCGAGGAGCAAGAGAAUGCAAUCUCCAUCCUGUUACAGCUCUGUGUGGAGAAGAUAGAGUAUUGCAGCCUUGUUGUGAGAGAGGGCGUUGAUAUUUACUCAUCUCUUUUCUUGAUAUCCAACAAUGGAACGGAGGAAGCCAAGGUUGGUGCAUCAGAGUUGCUUAGAGCUCUUGAAGAAGUAGAUUCUAACAGAGAAGAAGAGUCUUCCACACUAGAAGGAGCAACUACUUCACAGACUGUUAUUACUCCAGUUAAGCAUCAAGAACCUAUGCUAACAACUCCAUCUCUGAAGAAGUCUGGUCUUUUUGGACUCAGAUUCCCAUUUUCAAGAAGAAGAAAAGUUUGUUAGGUUGUUUUAUAACUUAAAGCCUUUUUUGUCUGGUUCUCUUUGUUGAAUUAGGAGUUUGUAAAUAUUAGACACAAAAUGUCCCACCACAUGUUGGAAAGGAUUCUUAGUAAUAUAAAAGAUAGAUGGGCCACUCCACUUAUCACCAAUUGGUUUUAGGUUGGAAGCACAUAUAGCUUAACAUGGUAUCAGAGUCCGAUCCACGCAGUCCAACUCGAUCCACAUCGAUCUGGCCCAAAGUUGGCCCAUCGAUACUUGUCCGAGCAUUCCGAGAUUGACGCUCAAAGGGCCAUCAUCUCGAGGGGACAUAUUAGAUACAAAGUGUCUCACUUCGGAUGUUGGAAAGGAUCCUUAGUAAUAUAUAAGAUAGAUGAACCACUCCACUUAUCACCAAUUAGUUUUAGGUUGGAAGCUCAUCUAGCCUAAAAGUAAAUGUCAAUGUAAUUGUAAUUUGAUAGGACCCUUUUGGAAAACUAACUAGAAUAUUGGUUCCAAUACAGUUGGAACCCUAGUCAUCCAUUUCAUUUAAAAUUAUAGAACAUUUAUCAUUGCCAUAUGGAUCCAAAUAAUGACCGUUUUUUUAAUGGGUUGUAAUAUACAGAAAUAAAUUGAGCAUAUAUAUAUAUUUUAAAUUAUUUAAAGUUGACAAAACAUUUUUUUUAAUAAAAAAAAGAUGUGCAAAUAUUAUAACAAAAAAAAAACAUCAAAUUUGUUAAUACUUAACUAGUGAAAUCAUUAUACACAAAUAAUAUGAAUAAAUCUACUUUCAUGAGUUUUGUGUCGUUAAAUUGAGCGUUGUCUUUGUUUGUGUUUGUUUAUCGAUUCUAGUGUUGUGGAUUAGAUAAAUUAGGGUCUUUGCUUGCGUUUGUUUUUUGUUUCUAGUGAUGAUUUUGCUAAUACAUUUCCUUUCUUUUUUUUCUGAAGGAAGUAUGGAAACUACGAGGCACAACGUGGAAAUUUACCUAUGCGAAAUCAUCACCCAUGUAGGUGUAGAAGGUAGUCACUCCAGACUCAUGAUUGGGAUCUAUAAGUUCACCAGAGAGAUCAUCCAACCCAUCCAAGGACCCGAUCAGUUGAUGCUUCAGCUCAAAGAUUUUCAAGAGUGGUAUGCGGUCGAUGUAGACACUUCCUCACGGUGAAUUUCUACAACUCCAUCAUUCCAGUUUCUACUUUGAGAAUCAGUGCGUAUUUGGAAGGUAGGGCCUUAAACCCUGGAUGGAUGUGAGAAAGAGUUGCGGAUCGUUUAUCCGCAGUUGCUGACAAUGAGGGUAUAUAUGUGCAUGUGUUUGAAAGCCCUAAUCCAAGACUCAUCAUGAUCUAACUAGACUGUUUUUCUUACCAAGAGUAACAUUAACUUGUUCUAGUUGGUGAACAAUUGUAGAGCCUGUCAACGUGACUGGUGGAUGUCUGGUUUCUAUUUUCCCGUCAAAGUGUGCUCUAUUUUGAAGAAAGCCAUGAUCUGUAGGAAGAAAACAACGAUGGCCAAUGAAACAAUUUUUUUCCAUUGAUGUAAUCGUUGUCAGAUACCAUCAUAAUUACAACUUGGACAAGCUGAUGUUGUAUAUGUAUUCCAACCUGACAAAUUUCCAAAACCAGUAAAAUCACUAACUGUCCACAUGAGAGCUGCUCGCAUAUCAAAUUUUUGUUUUGUGGAAGCAUCUAACGUUUUAAUCCCAUAAAACCAUAACUCUUUCAACUCCUUGAUAAGUGGCUGCAAGUAGACAUCAAUAUCAUUACCAGGCAUGUGUUUUCCAGGAAUAACCAUAGAGAGAAUCACUGAUGUCUGCUUCAUCGACAUCCAUGGUGGAAAAUUAUAAGAAAAUAACAUCACUGGCCAUAUGCUAUAGCUACUGCUCAUUGUACCAAAAAGGUUGAAUCCAUCAGCCGCCAAGCCUAAUCCGACAUUUCUUGAAUCAGAAGCAAAUUCAGGAUAUUGAUGAUCAAAUGCCUUCCAAGCCAACCCAUCUCUUGGAUGUCGAAGCUUGCCAUCAUUGUUACUAGCAGUUGCAUGCCAUCUCAUGUGGUUGCAGUUUUUGAUGACAUAAAUAAACGCUGAAGUCGUGGCUUUAGAGGAAAAUAACGCAAGACUUUUGCAGGAGAUUUAGUUUUUUCUUUCUCUGAUCCAGAAACCGUUCUCUCUGCUGGUUUGUUAUCUUUCCAACGAGAGACUUCACAAACUUUGCAGAUCUCUCUUUCUGCAUAUGCCUCCCAAUAUAACAUGCAAUCAUUUGGACAUGCAUGAAUUGACUCGUAAGUCAUGCCUAAUUUACAAAUAACCUUCUUCAUGUCAUUAAAUGAAUCUGGCAAUUUGGCAUGCGUAAAGGCUUCUUUCAUCAAAUCGAGCACCAUAGAUAUCCCCUUGUCACUGACCCCGCACAUACAUUUAAUAUGGUACAACUUCAGUAUAAUGGAAAACUUCGUGAAGUUACUGCAUCCUGGAUAUAACCUCUUGAUUAUAAUCAGCAAAUAACUCCUCAAAAUCUUCUCUUCUUCCACUAUUUCUCCAGCAGUUGAUGGUAUGUCGCUGUUCAUUGGUUGCUCAGAUGAGUCAUUUCCAUAUUCACCUUGCAUAUUCAUAUUAAUAUCAGGAAAAAGAUCAUCCAAGAGAUUCAAAGUUGAAUCUAACUGAACUCGAGUGAUAUCAGAAGGUACCCUUGCAUUCUCUGUAAUGCGUAUUUCCUCUCCGUGUAAUAUCCAACUUGUGUAUGGACUUAAAAAGCCAUAGCACAUCAAAUCACCCUCCAUUUCUUCUCUUGACUAAGGUUUGGUUAGAGAACAACGGUUACAUGGACAUUUAAUCAUUUGUACAUUUGAUCUACCAAAUGCAAAAUCCAAAAAAAAAAUUACUCGUAGUUUGUAAUCUUGAGAUAAAUGUGGCUUUUAUAUCCAUGAUUUAUCCAUUGGAAUCUGAAAACAUAUUCACAGAGUUAAACUUUAAAUUUACAAAUCAAGCAUUAAAAGUUCUAUGAAUUAUAGUCAAACAAUAAAAUCAUGUAUAGAACUAUAUGUUUGUUAUAAUCGUUCAUUUAUUUUUUAAAUUCCUUAAAAACUUUGAAAACGUCUUGAUCAAUCUAGCUAAUCAAUGUAAAUUUAUCAUUAUAGCAUCAAUUAUUAGCAUAACUGAUAAAUAAAGUUGCACAGCUGAAAACUCAGAAAAGCGUAUGUAUUUACUUUAUAACUAACACAAAACUUUGAUUUUUAAUUCUAGAGAUUUCAGAUUAACAACUUUUCCCAUAAACAUUGUAAAACCUUUUGCUAUAAAUCCAAAUAGUGAAUGUCAAUUUACCUUAUAAUUAAGCACACCUUUGAUCUUUCCCUNNNNNNNNNNNNNNNNNNNNNNNNNNNNNAGCACACCUUUGAUCUUUCCGUAACCGACAAUUAUUUUUGUAAACAAAUGUGAGGAUGAUCGUAAUGCACCCUAGGAAGAAGAAGCCAAACAAAACCACGUCAACAAUCAGUGAGUUAUUAUCCCUUUCACUUUAAAAUACAGAAACCAUGUAUCAAUUUACCUUAACUAAUUAUAAGCAAUUUCGAUCUGAGAUUGAUGACAACCAAUUUUGCAAUUGAAAUGGAAAUGUGAUCUUCUACCUCGUUGAGGAAAAAGGUCAAACAACAUCGAGGAAGAAUAGGUCAAAAUUAAAGAAUUAGCUGAUCAAAAGCUAACAAGAAAAAAAGAUUCUUUAAUUUGCUUAACUUACGAUAUAUAUAUAUAUACACAUAGGAUAAAUAUUUAUUUACCUUCAACUCAAAACAAUAGUAUAUUUUAAGAUAUAUAUUAGCGAUACAAUAUUGCAUUAAAUAGAUGUAAAAGUUACGUAAUAUUUAUAAUGUUAAGAGAAUUAUGUUAGCAUCAAUUUUAAUUGAUGUAAGUUUUGUAUUAUUUUAACAAAUGAUGUUUUUUAAAAAGUAAAUGCAUCGAUUAUUUAAUUGAUAUCAAUCUGUAUAAUAAUAUCAUUUUUGUUUAAGUGAUACAAAAUAACAUAAAUUGUAUCAUUUUUAAUGAAUGGAUGCAAAAUAAAUUAAUAAUGAUAUCAUUUGCUAUAACUGAUGCUAACUUAUUAUUAUUUGUAUCAUUUAUAAAUACAUAAUUUAAAAUAUAAUCACUUAUUUUUGUGAUACACUUUAAGUGAUUUAAUAUGCACUUCUUUUUUUUGUAGUGAUAGAAGCCGAGGGGACGAGCUGUAAUGUAUGUCUGGGGGAGCUAAGUAGCGAAAGUUGCUAUGCACUCUCUUGUGGUCAUGUCUACCACAAGAGAUGUCUAUGUUCUCUCCUGUGGGAAAUCACUGACUUUCAUUGUCUUCUUUGGGAUGAUCCUGUUUUUUAAAUUAUGAUUAUCUAAAACCUACGUUGUUUGCAUGUUGAUUUAGUGUGAUCCUUUUUUUUUUCUUUUUAAUCUUUCGGUGUAGUGAACUUUAUUAUGAUCAUGUAUGUUUGUUUGGGUGCAACAUAACUCUAAAGAGAGAGAGUGGCAGGAACAGUAAGAGCUGGAAGAUUGAAGUUCUUUAGUGGUGUAAUUUAUAGAGCAAGUCAUGAUACACUUUUGUGCUUCCUUACUUUCCUCAUCGGACAAUUGUAAAACUUUCACUUUGUGUUUUCCCUUCCAACGGCUACGAUGGAAUCAUCUCGAUCUCGAGAAUGUCACGCGGAUUACCAAUUUGGAGAUAACCUAGUGUGCAUGGAACUAGUGUUGGUCCUGUGUGCUAGGGCACGAAAAUACCUAGAGCAUGUUCAUCGUUCAAAACCUGUGCAGAAUUCUAAAAGAAAAAAAAAAUAUCAAUACUAUAAUAAUGUAUUUAAUUUUUAUUUUUCUCUACAAAAGAAAACCAAUAAAUGGUUGACACAUACGUGUGUGAAUUUGGUAACCAUUUCUUAAUUUUUAAGGACCCUUCUCUUUCUUAUUUCCUAAUUUUUCAUUAUCUAAUCUAUUAAUUUAGAGUUAUAUUUUUAUCUACUGUUAAAUGUUGUCAUUUAAUUUUUGAACUUAUUCAUAACACUAUCCUUUCAUAUACACGUUCGCUCACCCUUAUACAUACUUGAUAUCAACCGGUAAACUUAAUGUAAACUGAGCUUUCUUUAAACCAAAUUUCGGUUAGCAUAUCCAAAUAAAGAACCUAUUCAAAUAAUCAUCAUCAAUUUAAACAUACUAACCGCUUAUCAGAAUUUAUAUUAAACUGACUUUAACGGAACAAGUAUACAUCAAUUUAUUCAUUCUACAUUUCUUCUGUUAAAGUAAUACGAACUUUGAUUAAUGCUAUAGAAAAAACUAAUACGGACCUUUGAGAUCAUGAUUUUAUUGUAUGUAAUCAUCAAUAAUGCUAACCAAUUGUCCAUUCUCUUUUUUUUUGGUACAUAUAGAUUGUAAAAUCAUUAUAGCUAAACAUACCAAAGUGGUAAAAAAAAAAUCAGCUAAUACAAAAUCCAUUUUCAUGCUACAUAAUUACACUAAUUGCUGAGUCAAUUAUGACUUACCUGUGUCAUAUUUCGAUAACCAUAUUAAACAAAAGUUGAAGAAGCUAAGCCUUUUUCAUUUUCUUUUCUUGAUCUAGAUAAACUGUCAAAUAGUUAUCACUAACCAAACCAAACUGGUUUAAUAUGAAUUUUCUAAAUUGCAAGAAAUCAUGAAUAGUAUUAUAUUGAGUUUAUACGUUUGAAUUUAUUAUAUGACCAUCACAUAUUUUUUUUAACCCAGAAAAUAAUCUACAUUCAGUUCCAAAAAGAUUAUAGUCACCACAAAAUAUGGUAAUAAAGUAUCUAUACUAUACCAUCAUGCUCUUUUUAAUUGCUAUUAAUGAUUACUUGAACGAGCUCAUCCUGAUAUUUUUAUAAAAACGAAAUAGGGUUCUUACACCUAAAACAAAUAUAUGUGCCUAAAUAUGUAUUUAAUUUUAUAAAAAAUAAAUUACAUUAAAAAGAGUAAAAUUUGUAAAACGGAUUGGAAAUUUGAAAGUGAUGUAUUAGAUAUAAUAUAUAUUUACUAUAAAUUAAAAAAACCAAAAGAAAAUGAUAUUGUAUAAAAUAAAAUAGUAUAAAUAUAUUUUCAUAUUUGUAUGAUUCCAAAAAAAACUGAAAAUGUUAUAUUUUGAAAAAAUUAACAUAUAACAUGUUUAUCAUAAAGAAGGUAAGCAAAUUGAACUACAAAUAUAAUAAAAAACCUAAAGACAAAUCUAUGUUUUUAUUAAAAUAAAUUUAUAAAAUAAUUUCGCCCUUGAAAAGGGUGAGUCAAAAUCCAGUUUUUAUUAUUUUUAAUCUUAAAAACUGAGCAAAGAAUUAGCGUUGAACAUGCUUUUAGUUGAUGCAUUAUUGGUUGUUACAAUAACUUAUAGUAUAUUAUUAAUUAAUAAUCGGUUUUUUUCAGGUUGAGUUGUUGUCGUGACUCACUCGCUCAAAUUUUAAUAAUCUUAAAAUUUUUGCCAUUAAUUUCAAUUGUACUACGUAAAAAAUCCAUUUGAUAAUUGUUUAUAUUUUUGAGAAGAGUUGAUAUCUGUCAGGCAUGAAUUUAGUCAUUUUUUAUUUUUUUUAAAAAAGUAAUUCCUCAAAUGAAACUACCAAGUCACCAAGUGAAUGAAUAAUUUAGAUUUUGUUGUAUAAUAAAGGUGAGAUAAUGUUUAUAUUUAUUAUUGUAUAUAUAUUUGUUUGUGGGGGUGUAAAAGUGACAAGACAAAAAGAGAGAGAGAUGAGACAACGAUUGAGAAAGAGAUGUUGAAAGUGAUUCUGAUUCUUAAUUAAGGGUCUGACUGGUUUAAUCGCAGCGGUUGCGGUUGCGGUUGCGGGAGUUUGCGGAUGCGGGUGGUUGCGGUUUCUAGCGGUUUUAAGAGAUUUGUACGACUGGUUAUGUGGUUAGAAAUUUGUGCGUUUGCGGGAUACUUAUGACUGGUUAACUACCAAAUGCAGCAGCAGUUAAAUAAUAAAUUAACAAUAUUUACAUUUUAUACAAUUAUAAAAAUAUCAAAAAUAAUAAUAUUAUAAUAAAUAUAAAAUUUAUAUUUAGAAAGUUAUAGUUUAAAUUUUUUAAAAAUAUAGAAAAUAUUUUUAUUUUAAAGUUUUAUAAUAUUAAUUAAAAUUUAAUUGAUAUAUUUUAGCAUUUUUAUAAUUUCAGUUUAAUUUUUUUAUUGAAUUUUUUUAUUUUUGUAUUUAUAUUGUUUUGGAAAAAAAAUAAUUUUUUUUUAUCCUCCCGCAAACGCCCGCAACCGCAAACGCUAGCUGGAACCAGCUUUUGAAUUUAUGAGGUUCAGAGCGAUUUGGAGCGAUUUGGAGCGGUUUAGAGCGGUUUGAGCGAUUGUUACAAAACGCCAGCAACCGCUACCAACCGCAAAAGCUGCGUUUGCGGGUGGUAGCGGGAAAACCAGUCAUACCCUUCUUUCUCUUUUACAACUCUAUUUAUAGAGAGGAAGAGUCGGUUUAUUUUACCGACUAAUAAGAAAAGGACAAAAAUAUAUAUAUCUGACAUUUGUACUGCUGAUAAUAUAAAAACCUUUUGGAACAUAUGACAUGUGGAAGUGAUGAGGAUGAUAUGAGACCCUGACAAGUGUUAUUAGAUAAUCACAUAUUUUAACACUCCUCCUUGAUUAUCCAAUCAUGUAUUACGUAGUGCCUCAUUAAAAACCUAGUCAUGGAAAAACCCAUUGGGACAAAAACCAUGACAAGAAAAAAAGAGUACACUACCGUAAUCUCUCCAUGAGAAUAGUAGACAUAGCUUUCUCGUCACAGGUCACGUAAAUGCCGCAUUCCGAUACCAUAGACAUGCUUUCAGAAUGUUGUAGUCGUAAGAGCUUUGGUGAACAAGUCAGCCGGAUUUUCGCAUGACCGUACAUACUCGAUGCCCACUUCUUUAAUUUUUCUCGAGCUCCCUUAUGUACGGGAAAAAUCUUGGAGGAAUAUGCUUUGUUAUGUCGCUCUUAAUGUAGCCUUCCUUGAGUUGAGCAACACACGCUGAAUUAUCUUCAAAUAUUUACAUUGGCCCUUUCUCAUUGACUAUUCCGCUUGAUUCUUGUAUGUGGUAACUCAUUGACCGAAACCACACACAUUCUCGACAUGCUUCGUUAAGCGCAAUAAUUUCUGCGUGAUUAGAAGAUGUUGCAACCAGAGUUUGUUUCUGGGACCGCCAAGAGAUCGCGGUUCCACCAAUUGUAAAAACAUAGCCGGUUUGCGAUCGAGCCUUAUGAGGAUCUGAUAACUAUCCCGCAUCUGCAAAACCAACCAUACCAAACUCGGGUUUUCUAAAAUACAUUAACCCUAAAUCAACUGUACCUUGAAGGUAACAGAAUAAAUGCUUUAUUUCGUCCCAAUGCCUGCGAGUAGGAACAGAACUAUAUCUCGCCAGUAGAUUAGUAGCAAAAGCUAUAUCUGGUCUGGUACAGUUUGCAAGAUAUAACAGCCCACCGAUAGCACUCAUAUAAGGUACUUCUGGACCUAAUAUCUUCUUGCUAUCUUCGCAGGGCCUAAAAGGAUCACUCUCAACAUUGAGAGUUCUACCAAUCAUUGGAGUACUCAAAGGAGUCGCUUUGUCCAUGCGAAAGCGUUUCAAUAACCUUUUCGUAUAGUUUGAUUGAUGCACAAAUAUUCCAUCUCGGAAAUGCUCUAUCUGGAGCCCAAGACAAAACUUUGUCUUGCCGAGAUCUUUCAUUUCGAACUCCUCUUUCGUAUGAGUUUGAGCAUCAUCAAACUCCUUUUGUGUUCCAAUUAUGUUCAGGUCAUCUACAUAAACACCAAUGAUCACAAAGCCAGAUGACGAUUUCUUUAUAAAAUUGCAAUAUCGCAUUAUUCACAUAUCCUUUACUCAAAAGAUAUUCACUUUAACGAUUGUACCACAUGCGUCCGGAUUGCUUUAAUCCAUAAAGUAAUCGCUGUAACUUGACCGAACAAAUCUCUCUGGAUUUUUCUUUCAAUGCCCCUGGCAUUUUCAAUCCCUCAGGGAGUUUCUUGUAUAUAUCGUUAUCCAACGAUCGAUACAAAUAUGCAGUCACAACGUCCAUGAAAUGCAUUUCAAGAUUUUUAGACGCCGUUAGGCUCAUCAAAAAUCUAAACAUAAUUGCAUCCAUUACCGGAAAAUAUGUUUCCUCAAAAUCAAUUCCCGGUCUCUGAGAAAAACCUUGGGCAACUAAUCGGGCUUUAUAUCGUAUUACUUCAUUUUUCUCAUUUACUUUUCUCACGAAUACCCACUUAUACCCAACAGGAUUUAUAUUCUCAGGCGUUCUGACUAUAGGUCCAAAAUUUCGUCCCAAUGCCUGCGAGUAGGAACAGAACUAUAUCUCGCCAGUAGAUUAGUAGCAAAAGCUAUAUCUGGUCUGGUACAGUUUGCAAGAUAUAACAGCCCACCGAUAGCACUCAUAUAAGGUACUUCUGGACCUAAUAUCUUCUUGCUAUCUUCGCAGGGCCUAAAAGGAUCACUCUCAACAUUGAGAGUUCUACCAAUCAUUGGAGUACUCAAAGGAGUCGCUUUGUCCAUGCGAAAGCGUUUCAAUAACCUUUUCGUAUAGUUUGAUUGAUGCACAAAUAUUCCAUCUCGGAAAUGCUCUAUCUGGAGCCCAAGACAAAACUUUGUCUUGCCGAGAUCUUUCAUUUCGAACUCCUCUUUCGUAUGAGUUUGAGCAUCAUCAAACUCCUUUUGUGUUCCAAUUAUGUUCAGGUCAUCUACAUAAACACCAAUGAUCACAAAGCCAGAUGACGAUUUCUUUAUAAAAUUGCUAUAUCGCAUUAUUCACAUAUCCUUUACUCAAAAGAUAUUCACUUUAACGAUUGUACCACAUGCGUCCGGAUUGCUUUAAUCCAUAAAGUAAUCGCUGUAACUUGACCGAACAAAUCUCUCUGGAUUUUUCUUUCAAUGCCCCUGGCAUUUUCAAUCCCUCAGGGAGUUUCUUGUAUAUAUCGUUAUCCAACGAUCGAUACAAAUAUGCAGUCACAACGUCCAUGAAAUGCAUUUCAAGAUUUUUAGACGCCGUUAGGCUCAUCAAAAAUCUAAACAUAAUUGCAUCCAUUACCGGAAAAUAUGUUUCCUCAAAAUCAAUUCCCGGUCUCUGAGAAAAACCUUGGGCAACUAAUCGGGCUUUAUAUCGUAUUACUUCAUUUUUCUCAUUUACUUUUCUCACGAAUACCCACUUAUACCCAACAGGAUUUAUAUUCUCAGGCGUUCUGACUAUAGGUCCAAAAACGUUUUUUUUAUUCAGGAGAGUAAUUCAAUUUGAAUGGCCUUCUUCCACUCCUUCCAAUCAUGUCUUUUUGACAUUGUAAAAUAGACCUUGGAUCGGGAUCAUCAUUUUCAUGAUCGAUAUCUUUGGACACAGAAAAGAAGAACAUUUCAUCAACAUCUUUUAUCUUAUUUCUGAUCCAUAUCUUCAUCUCGGGCGUAGUUGAUGGAAAUCUCAUACUUUUCUAUUCCCUUCUCGUCAUCUGGAUCAUCUUUAUCUAUGCCUUAUUUCAGACAUUUUUCACUAUCAGGUUCUUCUAGGACCUUACUGUGUAUGCACAUGGGGAACUGGAUGCUCCACAUCAAUCCCCAUUGACAUACAAUAAUCAUCAAAGGCUUGCGAUGUAAAUUCACCAACAUUAUCAAGCCUUACUUUCUUAAUGGCAUAUUCUGAGAACUGCAUUCUCAGCUUUAUUAUCUAGGCAAUGAACUUUGUGAAAGCCGUAUUUCGUGUUGUCAAAAGACACACCCUUGACCAUCUACUAGAUGCGUCAAUCAAUACCAUGAAAUAUUUAAACGGCCCGCAGGGUGGGUGGAUCGGCCAAAAUUAUCAUCAUGUAUUCUUUCCAAAAAUAUUAGUGAUUCAUUGCCUACUUUUGCUGGUGAUGGCCGAGUUAUAAGCUUUCCUUGAGAACAUGCAUUACAUGUAAACUCAUCCGUUUGCAAAAAUUUUCCGUUUUUCAACGGAUGGCCAUUCAAAUUUUGCACUAUCUUUCUCAUCAUGACUGAACCAGAUCCAAUGAUUGGUAAAAUUUUCCGUUUUUCAACUGGAGACAUUUGGGUGCAUUUGGAGCUCAAAGGAGGUGAUUAGAGUGGUCUUUGGACGAGCACUGCCUGGAGCGACUUCUCGGAGCGACUACAUGAGGUCGCUGUGCACCACAUCCCGGAGCGACUCAUCCAGAGCGACUGCACGAAGUCGCUCGCGUUUUCACAUCCGGAGACACACAUAUUUGACCCUGGAGCGACCUUCCAGAGCGACGUGCUGAAGUCGCUCCCGAUGUUCAGAGCGACCUGCUGGAGUGACACACCAAGGUCGCUCGCGUUUGUGCCGUCGGAGACACUAAAAGUGGCUCUGGAGCGACUUGCUGGAGCGACACCUGCAAGUCGCUCCGCGUUAUUUUGCUGCCGAAAAUUACAAUUUCUCGGGGACCUUUUUGCAAUUUGAAGGCACGUUUUGCACUUCUAAAAACCUAUCUUUUUUAAUACUUUGUAAGCCAUUGGAGGCAAGAGAAUCUCUUUUCUAGAGAAAAACUAGUAAAAAACCUCUUUUGAUUCAGAUUUCAUUGCUUUCAUCUUGUGUUCUUGUUGAUUUCUUAUCUAUUUCUCUACAUGGUUAAUCUGAAAUCCAAUAUGGGUUUAAGAGGAAUCAUGGAGAUUAGUGAGUAAUCACCUUUUGAAUUCAUGGGUUAGGGAGAUUAAGGGUGAUUAGGUUAGUUCUAGGAUGUUUUAGUGUAGAUCAUUCUUGUUCCUUGCUAGUAGAGUAUUCAUAAUGCAUCUUCUGAGUUGGCCACUCAAAAGUUGAUCAAUAGGCAUUUCCCACCCAAAAGGUGUUUGAUGAAAUGCCUGAGACAACUCUCCUAGGCUUUUAGUAUACUUUGCCAAAGACAUUUGUUGUUAAAGGUGCUAAGAUAGCUAAUAGACUUGUUAGUAAUGAUUGCUUUCAUAUUAUUCAACCAAAGACAUUUGAUGUUUGAGAUAUGUUAGCAAAUGAGCAUUCAUCUAGACAUAGAGCUUGCUUAGAAUUGUGUCUAGGCUUAAGGUUGAUAGUUUGAUUGAUCAUUUGCCAUCCUUAGUUCGAUACUUGAUCACCCAAGGUCUAAUCCCUAUGCCCAUGAGUUCUCUUUUCCUUUAGUCAAGAAAGUAUCAUUCUGUUAUUGCUUUCUAGUUUAGUAGUAGUUUAAAACCCAUCUAAAUCAUUGGUUGCACUUAGAUUAAGUGAGUACUUGCAUUCUCAGUGCUUUGAUAUCCCUCAGAACUGGUUCGACAAUCUUUUAUACUACAACAUUUGUCUUAGGAGCCUUGAAAACUCCUAACAUCAAAUUGGCGCCGUUGCCAAAUUCUGAGUAGAUUUGAACAUUGAGAUUUAGUCACUUGCUUGAGACUAAGUCAUUUUUAUUUUCUUUUGUUACUGAUUCUCUUUCUUCACCUCCCUUUAAUCUACAGGUGUAUGAACUUGAGGAGCAGGGGUCCAUCAAACCUAGUUCCAAUAGCUGCAGACAUCAGAGCUUUAGAGAGAGAGUGUGCUAGAAAUAGAAGAGAAGAAGAGCAACAGGCUCACUUGCAGAGAUUGAGUACUGAUAUGGGAGACAUACCUCAAAACCAACAGCGAGCAGCUCGACCCAUUGGCACUUACGACCGCCCCAACAUUCAUGGUCAUAGAUUGGGAAUCCGAGCACCCGCUGUGGCAGCCAACAACUUUGAGAUCAAAUCAGGACUCCUCAACGUGAUCGAGAACAACAAGUAUCAUGGCUUGGCUCUAGAGGAUCCAUUUGAUCACUUGGACAGGUUCGACAGCUACUGUGGGUUGUCAAAAACCAAUGGUGUGUCCGAAGAUGCCUUAAAGCUCAAGCUAUUCCCUUUCUCUUUGGGGGAUAAGGCACGUCAGUGGGAGAAGUCUCUACCCAGCGACUCCAUCACCACUUGGGAUGACUGCAAGAAAGCAUUCUUGGAGAAGUUCUUCUCUACUUCAAGAACUGCUAAGCUGAGAAACGAGAUUUCCAGCUUUCAACAGAAGAACUUGGAAGGCUUCAGUGAAGCCUGGGAGAGAUUCAAGGGCUACCAAGCUCAAUGCCCACACCAUGGUUUCUCUAAGGAGAGCUUGCUGAGCACAUUCUACCGUGGUGCUCUUCCUAAGUACAGAGCCAGACUGGAUACAGCUAGCAAUGGGUUCUUCUUGGGGAGAACUGAGGAGGAUGCAGAAGAGCUGGUUGACAACAUGGUAAAGAGUGAUGCAGUCUACAGUGGAGACCACGACAGAGGCAGUAGAACAGAUGAUAAGCAGACGAGGAAAGAGAUCAAAGCUUUGGAAGACAAGAUCGACCUACUCAUUGCUGAAAAAGCAACCCAAGAGCAGCUGAAGUUUGUUGGUAACUCCAAGCAGGAAGAUCCACUUGCUGUCAAUGAGGUUGAGGGUUUGGAAGGUCAAGAGGAGUUGUGUUUCAUCAACAACAAUGGUAGCUGGUACAAAAAGGAGCCCAAUUUUCAGUACAACAACUACCAACAGAAAUCCUAUCCCAACAACCAACAGAGUGGUUAUCCGCCUAGAAACAACCAGCAAGGCAGCUAUCAGCCUCAGCAAAACCCCUCGUCUGGUUCCUCUGCUCCUCAAGAGAGCAGCACUGAUACCUUACUGAAACAAAUCUUGGAGUCUCAGACUAAAAGUGAGAAGCAUGUUGGUUAUGAGUUGAAGAACCUUCAUUCCAAGAUUGAUGGGAGCUACAAUGAGCUCAACAACAAAUUCUCACACCUUGCUUCUACAGUCAAGAAUUUAGAGAAUCAGUUUGCUUCCAUGAGCACUCACCAGAAUCGCCAGCAAGGAUCUCUACCUGGAAAAUCUGACCCAAAUCCCAAAAAAGCCAAAGCUAUCACCCUUCGGAGUGGUAAGCAGUUACCUCAUAGAACCCUCACCAAGGAUGCUGAGAAACUAGGUGAGGGGGUUGCCAUCAACAUAGAUGAUGAAGUGGUGAUUGUUGAUGAGAAAAUCAAUGAUGAAAUCUUGGAGAAGAUUGUGGAAGCAAAAGGUAAAGGAAAGGUUGGGGAAGAGAAGAAGACAGUAAAAGAUGGUGAAGUUGUUACUCCAGCAAGUGAAAGUUCUUUUGUUCCUCCUCCCUAUGAACCCAAACUACCAUUCCCUGGUAGAUUCAAGAGGCAGCUGCUAGAGAAGUACAAAGCUCUAUUUGAGAAGCAAAUGAGUGAAGUUCAAGUCACAAUGCCCAUCAUUGAAUCUCGGAUCUCUUCUCUUGGCUUGUUUGAUGUCUUCCCCUUUCUUCUGACUCCUUGCCAUCUUCAAAGGGUGUAGGAACGACCAGCUUCUGAUAUAGAGACCUCCAAGUACCUAUAACCCAAUGCAUAAACACUUGCAUCAAUUCUCAAGGCAUAAACCAAUCAAACUUCAACUCAAACAUUAAACUGGUUACCCCCCUUGCAUAUGAGUGAAUGGGACUGAUGAGGAGUGUCUUUGAGACACUUGAGUCCUCCAUAUGAUCUGAGGUGAGGUUGACGACAUGAACCUUCAGGAUAGCUCACCAUUACCCCUCCUCAAGCUUGAUCCGGAGAAAAUGAGUGAAGGACCAAGCUUAGAAGUGAGAAACACUGAGUCUUGAAACCAGGAGCGCAUCACCCCUACAGUUGCGCUUAAGUCAACCAAUUCCUCCUUUGAUCUCUUCUUCACUGCCCCUUAUUUAUCUUUUGAACCAGGAGCUCAACAACCAAACGUAUAUAUUUAAUUUUGUAAGAAUAGAAAACUAGGUUCGACCGGUUGAACCGGUCCAACCAAUCAACUCGAUACGGACCGGAUUUCAAAACCUUGCAACAUACUAAGAGCAUGAUUAUUGGGGAGUUUUUAGAGUGAAGUUCUUAACGGAAUAUAAAAAUCCGUCUCUUAACUUUUAAAGUUAAGAACCGGUUCUUAAAACUCUUAUUUAAAAACCGGUUCUUAACUUUUUUAGUUAAAAGUUAAGAGACGAAUUUUUAUAUUCCGCUAAAAACCUCAUCCUAAGAACCCCAAUAAUCAUGCUCUGGCAACUAGAACUAGUGUUCAAUAUUAUUCGUCUCUACGCACUAAUAUUUAAUUUCACGCACAUGGACUCAGACGGUCAUACGACUCAUACCACACUCUUCAUUAAUUUCAGUCGACAUCAUAUUUCUCUUCUUUUGGCGUGUGAAUUGAGUUUCCAUAUAAGAUACGCCGAAUUAUGAACUUAUAUUUAUGAAUCAUAUACAUAUAUACGCGUCGAUUGAUAUGCAUUUACGUAUGAUUCUAUCUAUUUUCUUAUUGUUUUUAAGCUUUCAUUGUUUGAUGAGUGAGGCCUUUUUCGGAAAGUCUUACAUGUGCAUAAUGUUGAGAGUAUCGGGAACGACAAUGCUUGAUCUUCAUUCUUGCUAGAUUGGGCACUCUAUUGUCUAGCUAUAGGUGGGGGGUGAGUGUUGUGAUUAUGAUUUGGGAGAAAUGAAAAAGGAAUAGAAUAGACUCUUUGUGCUUAAGUGAAUUGUUUUAUUGGGAUCAGUAGAGAAGCCUCUAGCUCAAAUUUUGAAAAGUCUUGGCCCCCAGCCUAAAAUAAAAAAUAAAAUAAAAUAAAAUAAAGGAAAUAGAAAAACGAAAAAAAAAAAAGGGGCUAGCAAAGUUGUUAAGAGCUAAGAAAUGUUUUGAGGUUGUGAAAAAUCCCUUGUAGAUUUCAAAGAGAAAGAGUUGAUGUUCUUAGGAUCUUUUGGUGAGAGAUGUGAGUUGAGGUAGAUCAAUGGAGAUUGAGCAUUGUAUGCAUGAGUUCGUCCCUUUCUUAGAUAUAUUAUGUGCAAUGUCAAGGCUACUUGUUUUGAGAGUAAACCACUUUAAAAGAUCAUGGAUUUUAAACCUCUUGACUCACUAGAAUAAAAGCCUUCCCUUUAAUCAACCAAAUGAUUCGGACCAAUUGACCAUUUGCAAGAAUUCACCUGAUGUUUUAUGCUUAAUGAAUAUGAUAGUUGGUUGAUUUGAAUGUGUGGAUGCUUGAUGAUGAGUGUAAGGGCAAAAAGAGUUGAGAUAGGCCUAGAGAAGCUAGAGUGUAAUAAGAGAGUGCCAAAGCUAUCACCCUUCGGAGUGGUAAGCAGUUACCUCAUAGAACCCUCACCAAGGAUGCUGAGAAACUAGGUGAGGGGGUGGUUGCCAUCAACAUAGAUGAUGAAGUGGUGAUUGUUGAUGAGAAGAUCAAUGACGAGAUCUUGGAGAAGAUAGUGGAAGCCAAAGGUAAAGGAAAGGUUGGGGAAGAGAAGAAGACAGUAAAAGAUGGUGAGGUUGUUACUCCAGCAAGUGAAAGUUCUUUUGUUCCUCUUCCUUAUGAACCCAAACUUCCAUUCCCUGGUAGAUUCAAGAAGCAGCUGCUAGAGAAGUACAAGGCUCUGUUUGAGAAGCAAAUGAGUGAAGCUCAGGUUGCAAUGCCCAUCAUCGAUGCUUUCAUGUUGAUUCCUCAAUACAGCAAGUUCCUGAAAGAUGUUGUAGCUGCAAAGAAGAAGGAAAUGGAAAGCAUGAUGAUUCAUACCCAUGAGUGCAGUUCCAUCAUCCAAAGGCUUGAUGUUCCAGAGAAGUUAGAGGAUCCANNNNNNNNNNNNNNNNNNNNNNNNNNNNNNNNNNNNNNNNNNNNNNNNNNNNNNNNNNNNNNNNNNNNNNNNNNNNNNNNNNNNNNNNNNNNNNNNNNNNNNNNNNNNNNNNNNNNNNNNNNNNNNNNNNNNNNNNNNNNNNNNNNNNNNNNNNNNNNNNNNNNNNNNNNNNNNNNNNNNNNNNNNNNNNNNNNNNNNNNNNNNNNNNNNNNNNNNNNNNNNNNNNNNNNNNNNNNNNNNNNNNNNNNNNNNNNNNNNNNNNNNNNNNNNNNNNNNNNNNNNNNNNNNNNNNNNNNNNNNNNNNNNNNNNNNNNNNNNNNNNNNNNNNNNNNNNNNNNNNNNNNNNNNNNNNNNNNNNNNNNNNNNNNNNNNNNNNNNNNNNNNNNNNNNNNNNNNNNNNNNNNNNNNNNNNNNNNNNNNNNNNNNNNNNNNNNNNNNNNNNNNNNNNNNNNNNNNNNNNNNNNNNNNNNNNNNNNNNNNNNNNNNNNNNNNNNNNNNNNNNNNNNNNNNNNNNNNNNNNNNNNNNNNNNNNNNNNNNNNNNNNNNNNNNNNNNNNNNNNNNNNNNNNNNNNNNNNNNNNNNNNNNNNNNNNNNNNNNNNNNNNNNNNNNNNNNNNNNNNNNNNNNNNNNNNNNNNNNNNNNNNNNNNNNNNNNNNNNNNNNNNNNNNNNNNNNNNNNNNNNNNNNNNNNNNNNNNNNNNNNNNNNNNNNNNNNNNNNNNNNNNNNNNNNNNNNNNNNNNNNNNNNNNNNNNNNNNNNNNNNNNNNNNNNNNNNNNNNNNNNNNNNNNNNNNNNNNNNNNNNNNNNNNNNNNNNNNNNNNNNNNNNNNNNNNNNNNNNNNNNNNNNNNNNNNNNNNNNNNNNNNNNNNNNNNNNNNNNNNNNNNNNNNNNNNNNNNNNNNNNNNNNNNNNNNNNNNNNNNNNNNNNNNNNNNNNNNNNNNNNNNNNNNNNNNNNNNNNNNNNNNNNNNNNNNNNNNNNNNNNNNNNNNNNNNNNNNNNNNNNNNNNNNNNNNNNNNNNNNNNNNNNNNNNNNNNNNNNNNNNNNNNNNNNNNNNNNNNNNNNNNNNNNNNNNNNNNNNNNNNNNNNNNNNNNNNNNNNNNNNNNNNNNNNNNNNNNNNNNNNNNNNNNNNNNNNNNNNNNNNNNNNNNNNNNNNNNNNNNNNNNNNNNNNNNNNNNNNNNNNNNNNNNNNNNNNNNNNNNNNNNNNNNNNNNNNNNNNNNNNNNNNNNNNNNNNNNNNNNNNNNNNNNNNNNNNNNNNNNNNNNNNNNNNNNNNNNNNNNNNNNNNNNNNNNNNNNNNNNNNNNNNNNNNNNNNNNNNNNNNNNNNNNNNNNNNNNNNNNNNNNNNNNNNNNNNNGCAUUUUCAUCAUAUAGAUUAGGAUUUAGCCAUGUCUAGGUUGCAUUUUGCAUACAUAUGUCUCUAUCAGGUAUUUGAGUACCACAUGGAGUUUCUGGAGACAUUUGGGUGCAUUUGGAGCUCAAAGGAGGUGAUUAGAGUGGUCUUUGGACGAGCACUGCCUGGAGCGACUUCUCGGAGCGACUACAUGAGGUCGCUGUGCACCACAUCCCGGAGCGACUCAUCCAGAGCGACUGCACGAAGUCGCUCGCGUUUUCACAUCCGGAGACACACAUAUUUGACCCUGGAGCGACCUUCCAGAGCGACGUGCUGAAGUCGCUCCCGAUGUUCAGAGCGACCUGCUGGAGUGACACACCAAGGUCGCUCGCGUUUGUGCCGUCGGAGACACUAAAAGUGGCUCUGGAGCGACUUGCUGGAGCGACACCUGCAAGUCGCUCCGCGUUAUUUUGCUGCCGAAAAUUACAAUUUCUCGGGGACCUUUUUGCAAUUUGAAGGCACGUUUUGCACUUCUAAAAACCUAUGUUUUUUAAUACUUUGUAAGCCAUUGGAGGCAAGAGAAUCUCUUUUCUAGAGAAGAACUAGUAAAAAACCUCUUUUGAUUCAGAUUUCAUUGCUUUCAUCUUGUGUUCUUGUUGAUUUCUUAUCUAUUUCUCUACAUGGUUAAUCUGAAAUCCAAUAUGGGUUUAAGAGGAAUCAUGGAGAUUAGUGAGUAAUCACCUUUUGAAUUCAUGGGUUAGGGAGAUUAAGGGUGAUUAGGUUAGUUCUAGGAUGUUUUAGUGUAGAUCAUUCUUGUUCCUUGCUAGUAGAGUAUUCAUAAUGCAUCUUCUGAGUUGGCCACUCAAAAGUUGAUCAAUAGACAUUUCCCACCCAAAAGGUGUUUGAUGAAAUGCCUGAGACAACUCUCCUAGGCUUUUAGUAUACUUUGCCAAAGACAUUUGUUGUUAAAGGUGCUAAGAUAGCUAAUAGACUUGUUAGUAAUGAUUGCUUUCAUAUUAUUCAACCAAAGACAUUUGAUGUUUGAGAUAUGUUAGCAAAUGAGCAUUCAUCUAGACAUAGAGCUUGCUUAGAAUUGUGUCUAGGCUUAAGGUUGAUAGUUUGAUUGAUCAUUUGCCAUCCUUAGUUCGAUACUUGAUCACCCAAGGUCUAAUCCCUAUGCCCAUGAGUUCUCUUUUCCCUUAGUCAAGAAAGUAUCAUUUUGUUAUUGCUUUCUAGUUUAGUAGUAGUUUAAAACCCAUCUAAAUCAUUGGUUGCACUUAGAUUAAGUGAGUACUUGCAUUCUCAGUGCUUUGAUAUCCCUCAGAACUGGUUCGACAAUCUUUUAUACUACAACAUUUGUCUUAGGAGCCUUGAAAACUCCUAACAGCACUAACAACUCCAUCUCUGAAGAAGUCUGGUCUUUUUGGACUCAGAUUCCCAUUCUCAAGUAGAAGAAACGUUUGUUAGGGUGUUUUAAUUUAAGCCUUUUUUUGUCUAGUUUUCUAUAUACUAAUGUAUGUGUAGUUGUAAGUUAAUAGGAGAAAGUACUGUGAGGACAAUAGUUUGCAACUUGUAAAAUUUUAUAAUAAAAUAAAUGGUUUCCUCUGUCUUUCUGAUUCAUUUUUUAAGAUAACAAAGAGAAUGACCAGACAAAUAAAAAUUUGCAGAAUUUUCAAUGAUCCAUUAUCCUUAACUUCUUUACUUGAGGCUGAAAAAACUGAAAACUGAAUCGGUUCUCAAGUUGUUGUAAAGACACUGUGAGUGAACAUCCCAGCUUAAAGAUGUCUCCAUUUUCUGCAGGAAAGAGAAAGGUUAAUAGGUUGCUUGACGGACAAGAAACCAGCAAUGAAAGAUUUGUUUUGAAGGAAAAGAUUAUUACAAGAGCGUUGAGAGAUGUGGUUUGGUUUGAGUUUAUGACCGAGUAAUCUAGAGAUCCUUGCUGGUGUAAUGGAAAAGAUCUUUGAUCCGCCAUCAUGGAUGACAAUUCAUGGAUAUGAAACUCAAGCUGUGGAUUCAAGAAGGAGAGUUUCAUGGACAAGAACUCGACUUGUUGCUGCAGAGAUUGGACGUAGUUGAUGAUCUCAUCAAGCAUACCGGCUUUACCAGUUACUUUGUUGCAUCCAGGAACAAUGUCUUGAAGACAUUUCAUCUUCUUGCUUAUCUUUUCUCUCCUUGCCUAUCAAAAACAAUCAGGUAAAAAGCAAUCUCUCUUAAAUUAAUCUGUGUAAUAACAACACUUUUAGUUAGUUACCCUUUCUGCUAAGCUAUGUCUGUCAGUGGCUUCACCUCUUCUAGCUCUCACAUGGAUGUAAUCUUGUUUCAGAACGUCUGAGGAUGUCUCUGUGUUGCUCAUGUCUGAGUUUCCUUUCAUGCUUGACUCUGUUUCAUCCUCUGCUUUGAUCUUCUUCUUCUUCUCUCUUGUUUCUCUCUUACCCUAAAACCAAAAUUUGAUUUAAGAUAAAAAAUAAACAAUCAAAAUCAAUGUUUAAACAAAACCUAAACCGCAUAAAUUUCUUGAGAUACAAACCUCAGGUUUUCUCUUGUUCUGCAAGGCAACGACUCUGUUUUCUUCAUUGCUUUUCACUGGUUCCAUUUGGAAGCUACUUGUCCUGGAGAUGCAGCCAUCAAUAGUAUCAUAACCCGGUCUGAAAUUCUGCAACUCAUCAAGAUUGUUUCCCAAGUAACUCUCAACCCUUCUGAGCUCUUCUCUACCAUCUGAGCCAAGUAUCUGAAGAAACUCAGGUGAAACCAUUUGUUGGUGUUGUUGCAGCCAUUUAAGUCCAGUCAAGUCCAUGGAGAGAAGGUUAAGAAACUUAGAGCUCUUAUCUUUUCUUAUGGGGUUUAAAGCUAAAGAGAGAGACAAAGAGAGAGUUGAGUUGUAUGUCUGGGGAGAAAUGUAAUCCAUUGGAUAUGAUUAUUCUUAGGUUUUAAUAGAAAGCAACAUUGACCCACACACAUGAGAUUCUAAAUCUAGUGAGAGAGUGACAAAAGUGGAGGAGGUUGGGGACAUAGAAGGUGAGAUGAGAAGUUGUGGGGUCUAAUUGACAUAACCUACCAUGUGGUCAUCUCCUUGUGAACAUGAGGUUAGGGGUGUCUUAAGUUAGUCUUUUGUGUCUUUCUCUGAUUUUUUUUUUAUAAAUAAUUUUAAUUGAAGAAAGAGUGUUUCUUAAGGUCGAGAAUGUGGGGAAUGUGAAUAAUGAAUCUUUACUUGCAAAUGAAUAGAAAACAAUGGUUUGAAUCAUGAGCGGUGGUUCAUGGCUUGUUGUGAAUCAAAACAUGAUUCUUGUGACGUAUUAUUACUACCAUUUAUCAAUCUAUAAGUUACACCAGUUUUUAUUCUGUUUCAUAUAUCAGGGAUAUCAUUAACCAUAAAUGUAUAUCUUAGAGAGAGAGAAUCUCUUGGAAUAUUUUGAAAACAUUACUUUAUUUAAUAGAAAUUUUGGAAGUGAUAGGGACAACAAAGAGAGAGAGAUCCAAAGAAGAAAAUGGGUGUGAAGAUAAGUGAUAGGAUGUUAGGCGACAUAUCAAAGUGUUUGGUCCCUAUACAAUUAUUUUUUCUUCUAUAUUUUUGUAAUUACAUAUCUCUUACAUUAUCUAUAUACUCGGCGAGAUCAUUCAAGAGAAUCAAUACUGUUUUGCAAUUUUUUUUCAUUCGUAGAUGAUUGGAGAUUCUUAAUCUUGAAGGCAAUAAGAGAUUGUAGUUUCUCUUGAAUGUCGUCAGGCUACAGUUUAUGUAUGAGAAUGAGAUGGCAAAAUGUAAAGUUAUAAUAACAUUGAAAUAGACGUAUGGUUCUUAAUUGAUGAAGAACAUUUUUUCAAUUGUACUAAAAAUAGUGGAGAUUGUAAAUCCGAGUGGUUGGAUAUGCGUAUCUCUCUGUAGAGUUAGUUCAAGGUUAGUUACUACACCAUGUAUUCUUGUCUCAGUCGAUAAUUGGUCACAUGUCACUCGUAUCCAUCCAUGAUUCUUUUGGAAUCAUCAUCAAGAAGAAGCUGGUAAUGAGAUUAACAUGAAAAGAGUGAUCACAAGAAAUAUACUACAGGUACUAUAAACACCAAAACCAGAGCCACUCUGUUUUGCUACAACAAAGGGAGAUCUCUAACUGUCAUGAAAUGUAUCUGCGAAAAGGUAUUCCAUCUAAAGCUAACGACUGCACAUAUAUCUCAUGUUUUGUCAACAAAAUCUCUGAACAAGAACGUUCAAAUCUAGAAUUGUGUUAAAAUGUUUCUAACUUUCCAGGAAGCUUGGAACAGAUUCAGCUCAGAAGAAAGGUAGAGCCUUGUGUUGUUUACUUUGACCUUGCUAUAUGACUUGCUUCUAGAGUCGUUUAAGAGUAAACUAGAUACUGAUCCGCCCUUUUAAAAGGCGGGUAUUCUAUCUAUUAAAAUGUCAUUUUUCAAUUUUAAUAUUAUUUCUAAUUAGAUGUGUUUCAAUAUUUUAUUAUCUAAUAUGGUUUUAUUUUUAUAAAUUGUAAUUCUAAUUAGUGCAAGUAUGUGUUUGAAUAGUUUAUUAUCUAAUAUGGUUUUUAUUUUUAUAAAUUGUAAUGUAAUUUAUUUGUUAUUAGUAAAAUUGUGUUUACACAUAUAGGACUGCAAAUCCGUUGUUUGUUUAAUUCUUAAAUAUAUCACAUAUAUUAAUUUGUUUAUUUCUUAAAUGUAUAAUCUCAAUAAAAAUAAAACAGGUUUUUUAUGAUUUUAAGUAUAGAUAUUUUACACAAAUUGGCAUAAUGGGUUAAUAUAUUUGUUUAUCUCUUAAAUGUAUAAUUCCUGUAUAAAAAAUAAAACAAUCUUUUUAAUGAUUUUCACUAAAUAUAUUUUAACCAAAAUAGCCUAAUGGGUUAACAAUGGUUCAAUUUGGACCUAUCCAAUGGGUUUUAAAUUUCUGUAGAUCAUUAAAGAUAUUAGAAAAAGUUAUGGUAUGUUUUGUAAUUUUUAAAAAAAUUCAGGGACAUAAUCAUAAGAAGGAUUCUGCUUUAAUAGUAUAGAUAUUCUAUGUUUCCAAUUAGUUGUCUCUUAGGUUUAUUUUCUCUGAUUGCCACAAGGCCCACAACAUUAGAUGAUUUAAAAAAACGUUAUUCAUUUAUUUGAUUUACUUUGAACAAUAAAAACAUAAGAGAAAAUGACACAAAGAACACUAAGGGUCUGACUGGUGACCAUUCGGGAAUCAAGAGGAGCGAAUAAAAAAGGAAUGUACGGAAACAAAAUAUUAGGAACGAAAAGGAAUGGCUGUUCCUUAUCAAAUUUAACAAGGAAUCAUUUUGUUCUUAAAUUCUCUACAAAAAAGGGAAUGAAAGGGAAUGAGAAGGAAUUAUUAUUCCUUGUGAAUGGUGAUUUUUUUUAGGAACGUUAGAGAAUGCAUUAUUCCUCACCGUUCCCUGGUCACCAUUCAUACCCUAAGGGUUUGACUGGUGACCAUUCGGGAAACAAGAGGAACGGAUUAAAAAGGAAUGUUCGGGAAUAAAAUAGCAGGAAAGAAAAGGAAGACCAUUCGGGAAACAAAAGAAACGGAUUAAAAAGGAAUGUUCGGAAAUAAAAUAGCAGGAAUGAAAAGGAAUGGUCGUUCCUUAUCACUUUUAACAAGGAAUACUUUUGUUCUUUAAUUCUCUACAAAAAAAGGAAUGAAAGGGAAUGAGAGGGAAUUAUUAUUCCUUGUGAAUGGUGAUUUUUUUCAGGAACGUUAGGGAAUGCAUUAUUCCUCGUCGUUCCCUGGUCACCAUUCAUACCCUAAACCAAGUUUUCCUCCCCAAACUAGCACUCAGGAUCAGAAGUCACAAAAAUAGGUUUCAUUAAAGGGGCAAUUUACCCUUAUGCCCUCUUCUUUAACUAAUUUAAAAAACAAAUUUGAAAUCAGUUGUGGCCGUCCUCGUUUCAUCGCUUCUUCUUCUCCUCAUCGCUGUCUUUCUUCGUCGUCGUCUCUCCGGCGUUGUCGUCGUCGUCUCUCCGUCGUUGUCGUCGUCGUCUCUCCGUCGUCGUCUUCGCCUCUCCGUUGAUCCGUCGUCGUCGUCUCUCCGUUUAUUUAUCGUCGUCGUCGUCGUUUCUCAAUUGAUCUGUCGUUUCUACGUCUAUUCAUCUCAUUCUCUCUCUCGUGUGUCUGAUUUUGAUUAAGGUUUGAAUCAUUUCAUUUUGUUAUACAUUAUCUAGGUUUUGUUAUAUAUUAUUCAUUUGUUGAUGAAUUGAAGUUGAUUUUGUAGAACAAUGGAAGUUUUGUGCAUCUGUGGACAAUGGAUCUCAAAAGAAUCUCUCCAGUGGGAGUUUCUUGUUGAUUUGAAGAGGAAUGCAUCAAUCAUUUCCAUAGAAGAAGAUCUACUGUAUGAAGAUUUGAUGAAGAUUGUCUCUGAAGAUUUUAGUGUUAAAGAGGAAGAAAUCAGUUUGAGUUAUGGUUUUUCAUUGGAUAAGAAAUGUAUUAUUGAAAGUUUCCCCCCACUCUCGAUAGGUAAUACUCGUCAGCUCAGAACUUUCAUUUCCAAGACUAGAGCAUUUGAUGGAACCUGUCGUUUGUGUGUUAAGGUUUGUAUGAUUUUUUUUUCUUACUUAGACUUUUCAGGAUAUGCUUCAUAACCAAGUAUUAUGCCUUACAGAACUACUUGACUUUUGCAGGUUAGUACUAAUCCAGCUAGCUGUAACACUCAAGCUUCUGAUACAUUUGCUUCUACUGUUCCAUUGAAUGCCAAUCCAGCGCUUCUUUCUACUGUGCAGAGUGAAAAACAGGUACAUUGUCCUUAAUUCCCUUUUUCUGUUUGUGUUUGCAUGAUAUGCUUCAUAAUCAAGUAUUAUGUCUUACAGAACUACUUGACUUUUGCAGAGUUUUCUAUAUGAAGUUGUUUCUACAGUUCCUCUGAAUGAUCUUCCGGAUUUUAGUACUGAUUCAGCUAGCUGUAACAUUCAAGCUUCUGAUACAUUUGCUUCUACUGUUCCAUUGAAUGCCAAUCCAGUGAUUCUUUCUACUGUGCAGAGUGAAAAACAGGUACAUUGUCCCUAAUUCCCUUUUUUUGUUUGUGUUUGCAUGAUAUGCUUCAUAAUCAAGUAUUAUGCCUUAGAGAACUACUUGACUUUUGCAGAGUCUUCUAUAUGAAGGUGUUUCUACAGUUCCUCUGAAUGCUCUUCCGGAUUUUAGCCCUGUCCAUAUUGGACUUUCACCAAACACGAGAGUAGCUGGCGAUAUUAAGGUGAAUAGCUAUUUUAAGACAAAGAGAGAGUUGAUGUUGAGGAUGAAGAAAUGGGCUUUAGAGUGGAAGUUUGAGUACAAGACUGUCUCUUCUAACAAGUCAAGAGUGCUUUUGAGUUGUGUUGAUGAAAAUUGCACCUGGAGGAUGCGUGCUAUCAAGCUACCUGUUUCAGAUUUUUUCGUUGUUAAAAAGUAUGUUCAUGAGCAUACAUGCGAUACAACACACAGGAAAGCCAACCACAGACAAGCAUCUGCAAAGUUGUUGGGUUCUUUGAUUUCCAGCAAUUAUGGAGAAAAAAAGGAAGGUCUCAAACCGAAACAGAUCAUUGAACAGGUCAGGAUGCUGCAUGGUGUUCACAUCAAUUACAAACAAGCUUGGAGAGUGAGAGAAGAAGCUCAGAUUUUGGUUAGAGGGACUCCUGAAAACAGCUAUUACAAUUUGUCUAGGUGGUUGUAUAAAAUCACAGAAACAAACCCUGGUUCCUUGACUUAUCAACAUGUUGAUGCUGCAGGAAAGUUCAAGUAUGCAUUUGUGGCUUUUGGUCCAUCGAUAAGGGGAUUCUCAUUGAUGAGGAAAGUUAUUGCAGUAGAUGGUACAUUUCUGAAGGGAAAAUUUAAUGGGACUUUAUUGACAGCUUGUGCUCAAGAUGGGAAUUAUCAUCUAUAUCCUCUCGCCUUUGCAGUGGUUGACGCAGAAAACGGCGCCUCUUGGAAAUGGUUCUUUAGAGGUUUGAGCCAGAAGAUCCCGGACGCUUCGGAUCUUGUUUUUGUAUCAGACAGGGCUAACUCCAUUUCUUCAGCGUUGGAGGAUGUAUAUCCCUUAUCUCACCAUGGAAUUUACAGGAUCCAUCUGCUCCGCAACAUCACUCCUACAUAUGCGAAGACUGGGUUGCUACCUCUGGUGGAAAGCGCUGCUGAUGCCUAUACGUGUCACGAGUUCUGGUUAAUCUUCAAGGACAUAAAGGAUAAAUGUCCUGAAUUGGCUAAGUAUCUGGAAGAGUCUGAUUUUAGGAAGUGGGCACGAAGCUAUGCGCCUGCGAACAGGUAUAAUAUCAUGACUACCAACAUUGCAGAGUCUCUGAAUUCUAUGUUGAAGAUGCCUCGUGAGUUGCCCAUUAUCUCUCUCCUUGAAACUAUCAGAUUGACGAUGACCACUUGGUUUUUUAAGCGACGCGAAGCGGCUGCGAAACAUAAGCACCUGGUUACUCCAAAAGUUGUGCAGAAAUUGGUAUCUAGGUUAGGGGCCGCAAUGUUGUUGAAUGUGUAUCAAGUUGAUCGAAGCGAGUUUGAGGUGAAGGAUGAAACAAUGAAGUUUGUUGUUGACUUGGAGAAGAGGCAUUGCACAUGUAAUGUUUUCGACAUUGACAAGAUCCCCUGCAUCCAUGCCAUUGCUGCUGCUAAGCAUAUCAAGAGAGAUGAAAACCGUUUUGUUGAUGCUUCUCACUUGACAGAAACGUGGGCUAAAGCUUAUGCUGAAAGCAUACAUCCUGGUGGAGAGUUGUCAACAUCCACCUAUCCAGAGAAUAUUGAUGAACUGUCUUGCCCACCUCCAGCUACCAAAAAGAAAAGUGGACGCCCUCCUACAAAGAGAAAGAGAUCCGUUGGCGAGUUUGGGGUUCCUGGAUCUAAAUCUCAGUCCCACAAGUGCAGCAGAUGUGGCACAGGAGGGCACAACAAGAUCACAUGCCAGAGGCCUAUAGGAUGAAGUUCUACAUUUUUACAUUUUUAUCGAUUAUUAUUUGGAUGUUGGCUAUUUGAUGGUUACAUGAUAUGCACAAGACCAUAUACAUUUUUUCUUUUGGAACCCUAUCCUGAAUAAGUAUGAUUUCUUCCAACUUUUGUAAUAUACAACAUUAUCUUUUAAACUCAUUUCAAUUUUUAGUUUAAACUUCUUUGCUAGAAAAAAACACAGUAAUAUUCAACUAUUCUGGAAUCCCAUCCAGAAAUACCGAGUUCAUUUCCAAGGUUUAUAAUACAACAUUUUCUGUUAAGAAUAAUUAUGUGGAAAAGUGUAACAGAUGAUUCUCCUCGGUCUAGCGGCUAAAACACCUAUCUGUCGAAAUUGUAACGCUUGACUCGACCCGGGUUCGAUUCCCCUACUAAUCAGAGUUUUUUAAAAAAAUUUAAGUUGAAUAAAAAUAAAAGAGAAUAUAUUACUUUACUUACAACAUGUAAUGACUGAAAUUAACUUGGCCUAGUGGCUACUACACCUUAGUUCCCUCUUUCCUCCUAGUCAUCUUCAGGUUCGAAUCCUAUGAGAUGUGUAUAUAUAUAUUUUUUUUCCUCCAAAAUUUGCAAAUCACAUUAUCAAAUUUUCCAAAUGUGUAGAUAUUAAUCCUUAGUUUUGAUCUCAUUUCAUUUUUUUCUAGUUUAAGAAAGAAGCACACUAACAUUCAUGUAUAUUAUUCAUUAGGGGUGGGCACUUUAUCCGAUAUCCGAAGUGGCACCCGAACCCGAUCCGAAAAACCCGAACCGAAAUCCGAACCGAAGUAGUAAAAUACCCGAAUGGGUAUUGAAUUAGGAGAGAUUGGAUACCCGAACCCGAAUGGAUAAUAUCCGAACCCGAAUGGAUAUCCGAAGAUAACCGAACAUAUGUAUAAUUAACCUUAUAUUUCUAGUUUACAUCUCUUAUUUUAUAUAAAAUAUUUAUAUUAAUACUACACAUACUUUAAGUUCAUAUGAUAUACAUGCAAUUACGGAAAAAAUGAUUUGGUACUCACUUAAAAAGCAUGUCAAGUUUUUUUUAUUUCAAAAAUUAACAAAAAGUUACAUCCAAAAUUUUAAAACAAUAACUAAAUUAAUGCAUUUUUAGUUUUAAAAUGUUAUGUCCAAAUCUAUUAACCAUUUAAUCUAUUAAAAAUAAAAAAUAAAGUUAAGUAAAAUUUAUAUUCUUAAAUACAAGAAAUUUAAGAAAUGAAAAAUUUAAUUUUUUUUCAAAAUCUAAAUAUCCGAACCCGAUCCGAAAUAACCGAAACCGAACUAAAAAUACCCGAACCCGACCCGAAAUAUAGAAAUACCCGAACGGGUCCUACACCUCUAUACCGAAAUACCCGAAAAUCCGAAAUACCCGAUCCGAACCCGAACGGGUACCCGAACGCCCACCCCUAUUAUUCAUGCAUACUCUGGAAGCCCAUCCUGAACUAUCUAAGAUCUUUCCAAUGUAUUUUACUAUAAAUUUUAUGGCUAAAUUCAAUUAUGUGGAAGCAACUAACAGAUGAUUCUCCUCAGCCUAGCGGCUAAACCACAAAACCUAUGAUACCGAAACAUUUGUUCGACCCGGGUUCGACUCUCCUACGAUUAAUGGUUGAUUUUUUUUUUUUUGUUCAAACAUAUAUCUCAGGAAUCGAAGAGUCUCUUCCAAACUACAUCAUGUAACUCAGUAACCGAAGAGUUUCUUUUCGUCAAGAUUGGCUGUUAUAUGAUUGGUUAUUUCAGUAACUGACUUCAAAAAUCGAAGAGUUCCACAAUAAUCAAGAGUUUAUUUUAACUGACUUCAAUAAUCGAAGAGUUCCUUUUAGUUCUAUAAAUAUAAGGGACGAUAUCAGACCUUUUAUUCACUCACUUCAUUUCGUCUGAUUUAUCCUUUUGCAAUACAAGUUAGUUUUCGAUUAUUCUCAUUUUCCAUUCAAUUCAUGAACUUUUUUCUAUUUCUAUUUUAUCGUAACAUCUUAGUUUCGAUUUUGUUGCAGGACAAAGUUUCAAUGGAAGGAAGUUCAAAGAAGAUGAUGAAGCGUCCCAUAGAGGAGGUUUACGGAUGUGAUGCCGCCGAAGGUUUCAAUACGGGGAAGAAAGAAACUGUGGUACAUUACAGGGCUCUUCUUCGUUUGUCCAACGAAUACAGGCUAUCUGAGAAUGAUUGGAAUCUGGCAUCCAGCAAAGCAAAUUCAAUUGCUGUCCAAAUCGAGUUGCUUGAAGAUAUUAUCAAAGCUGAUGGAAAAUUUGAUUUAACUGCUGAGUUGGAGAAACUUAAAGAAGAGCACUCGGAAGCGGAAGGAAUGCUUGCUGAUGUGAAGGUCAAAGUCCCUGAUUGGGAUAAACUUGGCGAAAGUUGGCUGUGUCAUGAGUAAUUUCAUGUUAUCAUCUUCUCUUUUUAUGUUUUUAAGGACCACAUUAUGUUUGAUUUUCAGUUUUUAUUUUAAAUGAAUAAGUAUUUUUGUUUCUCUUGUGUUGUUUCUUCAAUUAACAACCUAAAUAAAAAAAUUGUUCAAUGUUUUUCACUAUUUUGUAAUGGUUUGGCCUAGUAUUCUUGUAACUUGGUUAUCUGAUUUGCUUAUUUGUUUUUGGAAAGCCAUCCUGAAUACAUAAAAUGAUAUCCAGAUUAUAUAAAUCUAUCGUCUGUGAAUAAAUAAGUUCACAUUUACUCUGUUAUCGAAUAUCCACCGUAGCCUAGUGGCAAGCCCUUCUACUCUUAGUGUACCCUUAUCACACAAUAAGCCGUGUUCGAUCCCCGUUGUGUAUACUCACAUUUUUUUCUGUUUUUAAUUAAAUAUUCAAAAGUUAUUUUCGUUUUAUUAUAGCUUUUGGCAAGUAUAACACCCUUGGUACAACGGCUGCACACUUUGAUUCUUCUUUCGAGAGUUCACGAGUUCAAUCAACAUCAGAUCACAUUCUUUUUCAUUUUUUUUUUGUAAACUUUAAAGGAAUUUGUUUUUGGAAAGCUAUCCUGAAUACCUAAAAUGAUAUCCAGAUUAUAUAAAUCUAUCGUCUGUGAAUAAAUAAGUUCACAUUUACUCUGUUAUCGAAUAUCCACCGUAGCCUAGUGGCAAUCCGUUCUACUCUUAGUGUACCCUUAUCACACAAUAAGCCGUGUUCGAUCCCCGUUUGUGUAUACUUACACUUUUUUCUGUUUUUAAUUAAAUAUUCAAAAGUUAUUUUCGUUUUAUUAUAGCUUUUGGCAAGUAUAACACCCUUGGCACAGCGGCUGCACACUUUGAUUCAUCUUUCGAGAGUUCACGAGUUCAAUCAACAUCGGAUCACUUUCUUUUUCAUUUUUUUUUGUAAACUUUAAAGGAAUUUGCUAGGCUUUGGUGCAUUUUGCUUUCUCACUCUUUUUCUGGAAACCCAUCCUAAAAGUACCAUAAGCAUUUGACAAUUCAUCAAUACAUCCUAAAAAUUUUUCAAUAACAAUCUAAAUGAAAAAAACGUUAGGGAUUCAUUACAAACUUAAACUUAAACGUUAGGGAUAACUAAUAUCAAAGUAGAAAACAGAGUAGAAAACAGAGUAGAAAACAGAGUAGAACAAAUAUGACAUUUUCACUUCCUUUGACCUUCCUGGAAAUCUUUAUCCAUAAACUGGUCGAAGAUCUCACAACAUAGCUUGCUUCGUAAGUCCAUCGCAGUUUCAUCAUUUAUAUUAGCCAUGCUCUUCAAUUCCAGUGACCUGCAUUCCAGCAUCUUCACAACAAAAAUACCACAGUUGUAUGGAAAUUUUGUCUUUGGAAGCCCUUCUGCAAACUUAACUUCAAAUGGACUGAUAUCUUCGAAAUUAACCUCUUCACCAAGAAGUUCCAUCUUUAUGGCACUAAUCAACACUGUCAUAAAUACCCAAAAUUAUACAAUAAAUCAAUCACCAACAGACAACAAAAUGAAUAUGUAAAAAUGCAGCACAAGCACAAGCAGCAACAGACAACAAAAUGAAUAUGUAAAGAGUUUUUACCUGCCAGUUCUUGGAUUUGAUUAAGAGCACGUUUGAUAUUUGCUUUUGGAAGACCACAAUGGAAGAGUGUGAUUGUGUUGUCCAUCAAUUGUAUCUCCACCCCAAUAUAGUGAUAGCUCAACUUAUCUUCAAUGACACCAUAUAUAACAUCAACAUCUUCCAGCCAUACCUUCUUUGGAUGUAUUAAACCUUUCACAAGUUCGCCUACACAGCCCUCCAAUAACGUUUGUUUUUUCUUAUGUGGCUUCCUGACAGAUUCAUAAGCGUACCCAACUACUUCUAAGAAUUUGACUGGUACAAAGCAUGCUGCUGGAAGAUUGUUGUUGCGGAACCAAGCACCUUGCUCAACCCUCUUACAAUUUAGCAUUUCAAAUGCAACAUUUAUGUGCUGCCAAUGUAACAAUAUAGUUAGAAACUUCAUAUAGAACUGCUAUAACAUGGACAUCUAGCAUAGCUCAACUCAACCUCUUCCUAAACAUAUGACACAAUCGAAUAGAAGACAGAACAGAGUGUUGAUUACCUCUUUGUUGAGAUUGUUUUCUGCAUCGUCCAUUUUUUGAAAGAACUCUUUUUCAAUUUCUUUUCCAUUGAUAUAAAACGGUCUGUAGUUGAUAAAAUUAACUAGUAUCAAUCGAAACUUUUACAAAAUAAAUUAGGAAUAUUUAUGCGAGGACAAAAAGUUGCUUACACACGAUAUAUGCCCCGUAGAUCCAUCCAGUGUGCAAGCCUUGAAAACCGAGGAAAUUCAUGUGUCACAAAUGGAUCAAUUGGAAGGAUUACCUCAGGUGUUACAGGUAUAGGAGGGUUUCUAGGUCGUAUUGGCCUCUUCUCUUCUCGCUGUAGAAAAGGAAGCAUAUCUACUGGCUGAGCAUUUGCUUUCUUCUUCUUACCAACAUCAGGCUUCCCCUUUAAUUAAAAAUAAAGACAAAAAUUCAGGAUCGUUUUUAUCUUUAUACUUGAAUGCCUUCCUAAUAUGAAGUAAAAAUAUUUUUUAUACCUUUUUUGCAUGAUCGUCUUGACUUGGUUUCACACUCUUACCCUGCUUUACUUCCAUCUGUGAAACAAAACCGAUAUAUCAAACUAUUGACCUGAACUUUAAUUCAAGUGGAUCUUAUUCAUUUUUAUUACCUCUUUUGCCAUUUUCCCAACACCAUCUUCUGAUGGACCAGCUGCUUCAUUUUUCUUACAAGCGACAGCCUUCGCCUUCCCCUUUUUGAAUGACAAAAAUUCAGAUACAUUUAUAUCUUAAUUCCUAGUAUGAUGUAUAAAUAUUUCAUACCUUUUUAUCACCAUCUCCUUCACUUGGAUUCACACUCUGCGUCUGCUCUUCUUCCAUCUGAAAAUCAAUACCGAGAUAUUAAACAAAUGACAUUAUUUUUCAAUUCAAGUGAUCCAAGGCAUUUGUUUUACCUUUUUGUCAUCUCCCAAACACCAUCUACCCAUUUUCUUGGUUUUCGCAUCUCAGAAUGGUGGAAGUAAAUUUGUUCUUUAGAAUUGUUCAAAGAGACAAAACACGAGCCAUCAAACAAAAUGACUUUAACUUUUCCAGCGCACCAGGCACCAUUGUCGAACGCCUCCACGUCCUGCAUUAGCUAAUAACUUUUCUUCGCUCCAGAUCUCUCAGGUGGUGGUUGAGGACGUAUUCUGUCAAUUGAUACACGUGUCUCAACACUCCUUUUCCUCUUCUUUUCGUCCAGAGACGGGACGAAGUACUCAACUUUCACCAUCUCAACCCCAUCAACCAAAUAUGUUGCCAACACAUUUCCUGGAUACCAUUUAUGACAAGUAUUGUCAUCUUGUGAUGAAAUCUCCACAUUUGCUCCGAUCUCAAAGGGAUUUUGAACUCUGCUUUCUACAUCCUGUGAUGGUUUAGAUUCAAGGAUAUCCAGUCAUUUUGAUAGUUGAUGUGUAUUUAUUAAAGGUUUUAAUGAAAGUAAUACCUUAUUUUGCUCUGUUAAAAGAUUUCUGCGAGCUCGGGUAUUUGGCUGUGUGUCGGAAAUGUUUGGUGAAAUGAUCUCAUUCAUAAGCUCGUGAGUCUCCUGAAUUCAGGAAUGGUUGAAUGAACACGUACAAGGGCUUCCAAAAAUUACUUGAAAAGUCCAAUUUUUUAAAGAAACUACCUGCUGCGUCUGAAUUGGAGUAAGGACUGGAGUCUCAAUAUUCUGUUGAGCUAUUGGAGAACCAGGUGUCUCUUUCGUGAUCUCAUUCAUAGGCUCUCGUGUAUCCUGAAGUCAGGAAUGGGAUUAUGAACUCGUACAAGAACUUCCAAAAAUUAAUUUAAGUACAACCAAAUUCAUAAUUUUAUAAAUACCAACAGUUUUCAAAAUUAUACUUGCCUCAUUGUUAAGUUGUUCAUCUGCUUGAUCUGCAUUGGCUUCACCUUGUCUGGAAGCCGUCUCAUGAAAUGGAGUUGUGUCAGUCUGUGCAAGUACAACAAAAAUUAGGAAGGCAAUCCUAAAUAUGUAUAACAUCUUCCAAAAUUACUUGACAACUCAAAAAAAAAACUGAAUCAAGAACUAGAUAAACAUUAAUUUUAAUUUCCGAAAAAAAAGUUACCUCAUUGUUUGGGGUUUCAUAUGAAGUAACUCUUUGUAGUUUCUCUAGUUUUGUCACACGUUCUUUAAUCUGUUUCCUGUCUUUUUCAAUCAAACACAAACGAUCGUUCAUGAUCCUUAAAUUAUCUCCCACCAUCUCGCUGAUUCUGUUGAUCUUUGAUUCCAAAGACUCCUCCUGAUACGAAGAAGAAGCUUGACUCAUCCCUCCAUUCCCAAACAGUAAAGAUGCUCUUCUUAUUUGUUCAUUAGCACCGUAUAGGUCUACUGACAUGUUUCGCCAAUCUCUAAUUUUAAACUUAUAAUCUCUCUUGGAUAAAUCGGCCAUGUCAUCCAGAUCUUUAUUAGCUUCGUCUUCCAUGCAAACAUCAGCUUCUGGAUCAUUAGAAAUAGGAGGUAGGAUGCAUGUGACCUUAAGCUGAAACCAUAAAAAUAAUUAGUUUUUAAAUGGAGAAUCAUAAGGCAAAACAGAAACAAGAAAAAAAUAAUGUAAAAACUUACAUGAUCUUUGAUUUCAAUUAGGAGAACAUCUAUCAGCUGUGGAGAAGCUAUUUGAAGGUACUUCUCACACAAAAAUAUUGGGGUAGACGGUUGAACGCUCAGAAUAGGAACAACUUGACUGAAUGCAUACUGUAGCAAAGGUACUGACUCAAGUAUCCAUAUAAGAAAUGCCAUAGGGAAUCCUUGCAAAUCAUAAUUGUUUUUGUCGAGGCUUUUGUCGACAGCUCUCUGAAGUGAUUUUAACAGCAAAUUAUAAGCUGUUCUCCCCCAUGGGUAUGUCAUCAAGACAUCUAUAUCCUGCGCUAUUUUCACAUAAUCCAAAGUAAAAGUUGUGCCACCGUCGAGAAGGCUCUUCUGUAGUAGUAUGAGUACGCCCUUUACAAGGCGGAAUCUCUCAUCAGAAGCAUCUUCUCUUGUGUUUCUGAGCUGCUUCUCCACGUCCUUUACUGGAUGAGUACGCCCUUUUAGGAAGUCCCACUUAAAUUUCUCGGUUUCCUCUCGUGGUUCUCUUGCUUCACCACUACAUUUCAAACCAGUCACCAUGUGGAAUUCUCUUAUAGAGAACCUCAUUGGCUGAGCACCAAAAUGGAACCAUGCUUCGUGUCUCUUCACUGUCUUGAUGCUUUUGGUGAGAACUGCGUGCACUAUCUUAGCUGAUAAUUUCAAAGACCUCUCUCCAAGCUUGAUCACCGGUCCCAAAAACGUCCCUCUUAUUCUGUUGAACUCAUCAUUUCCUAGAAUUUCCUUAACAGUUUUGAUAUAAGCAACUAUCGAGUGUUGGUUUAUCGAUAUCGUCUUCUCUGGCUCUGAUCCAAUCGGAUACCUCAGCUCAGGUAGUGCUAGUCUUAAUGGUAAUGGAUCUCCCAUCUUGUUUCUAUCCUGCGUAAACAAGAAAAAUUUUAUUUGUCUAAAUUAAUUAAAAUCCAAUUUUCAGGAAGGGUUUCCUGAAACAAUACAAAUCCUUCCUGAGUCUAUACACAUGCUUUCACAUGAACUAGAAUUCUACCAAUCAUAUUAGGUUAAAACGAGCAAGUCUAUACACAAGCAAAAACCAGGAGACCAAUCUCUCAGAAAGAAAACACACAUAAGGUUGAAUCUGCAACAUACCUUAAAGAGAUAGAGCUCUAGAAAUGGUUUUUCUCGGAGAAUAGAGAGAGCUCGCGUAAAAGAUCGAGAGAGAGAGAGAGUUCUGGAGAUGGGUUUUCGUCGGAGAUCGAGAGAUAUGGAGAUGAGAGAGAGAUUCGAGAGGCGGAGACGAGUGAGAUUCGAGAAGUUUGAAACGGCGAGAGUGUUGAGACGGCAAGAGUUUUGUCUUUUUUCAAUCGAAAUGUAUUGUUUUGGAAAUCUAUCCUAUAUUAAUUGGUUUAAGUAUGUUUAUGUAAUAUUCUUUAACAGAUGAUUCUCCUCAGACCAGCGGUUAAACCAAGGCAUUUCAUAACUCAAAAGUCUCUCUAUCCCCGGGUUUGAUAUGUGGUGGAUUCAAAAUCAAUUUUAAUUUUUUUUGUGUUACAGUUUGGAGUUAAAUAAAAUUAAAUGUAAUCCAUUAACAGAUGAUUCUUCUUGGCCUAGUGGCUAAACUCCCACACUAUCCAAAUACGCAAACUCUCUCCCUCUGGGUUCGAUCCUUUGUGGUUCUAAAUUUUUGUUGUCUGUAAACAUCACAAUUUUAAGCUUACCAUAUACAUGUCCAAUCCUUAGUAUAUAAUCUCAUUUCAUUCUUUUUUACAUUUGAAACACUUAACUUUUUUCUGGAAACCCAUCCAGAAACAUUAUUUUAACCUUCCAAGAUAUAUGAUACCCAAAAAAAAUACUUGAUAUCCUUCCAAUCUUUCUUAUGUAACCAGACGCCAACAACAUAACAAAAUAAACAGUCAUAACUAAAACCGAGUCUUAACUAAAACAAAAAAUGUUUUCAUGCAUCAUUCUCAUUUCCCAAAGCUCUCAUCCACAAAUUGGCUGAAUAUCUCACAAGACAAGGUUCUCCUUAGCUCCAAUGCAUUGUCAUCAUUAAUCUUUGUCAUGUCUCCUAUCUUCAAUGACUAGCACUCCAGAAUCUUGACAAGAAAUAUCCCACAGUUGAAAGGAUGUUUUGUCUUGGGUAAACCUUGUGCCUGCUCAAUCUCAAAUGGAAUCAUCUUCACUUUAUCUACCUCAUCACCAGAAGAUUCCACCAGCAGAUUAGUAAUCAACACUGUCAUAUUUAAAAAUCAAUAUCAAGAUAGAAUCAGUUGAAUAUUUCAAACCAAGAAACAGUUGAAUACAUUAAAUACAAAUUGUUUAUACAUACCUGCCAACUUUUUCACUUGAGGAAUAUCAAUGCUGUUGCUUUCCUUUUGAAAACAAUCAUAUACUGUGAUUCUUUUCUUCUUCAAAUGAAUUUCCAUCCCAAUCCAGACAUUGCUUUUUUUUCCAAGAGUAAUCCCAUACACAACAUCAACAUCUUCUCCCCAUGUCUUCUCUGGAUAUACCUUCCCUCUCACAGUAUCUUUAAAUAUAUCGUUGAAAAUCUUUUUACCUUUGACCUUUUCUUUCUUGUAAGCCAAAUCAUCAGAGAGCAAGCAAUGCAAGAACUCCAUAGGUAGGAAGCACGCCUUUGGAAUCUUGUAGUUGUGGAACCAAGCAGCAUUCUCAUUUCUUCUGCAAUUUAGCAUUGCAAAGGCUCCAUCAAUGUGCUGCAAAAAAAAAAGGCAAACAUUAUCUAAUUUGUUACUAUAUAAUUCCUGAAACUAAACAAAUCCUUCCUGAAUUUUUUUUAAAAAAAAAAGCUCAAGGCAAGAACAUAUGUAAACAAAUUACCUCUUUCUUAAGGUCCUUUUUUGCAUUUUCCAUGCUUUGAAAGAAAGAUUUCCUUAUCUUAUUAUCAUUGAUUGAUAGGGACCUGCAGUCGAUUAAAGAUUCAAAGGAAUUUACCAAACCUCUUAUACAUAAAUAUAAGAAUAUAUAGACAAGGACAGAAACAUGCUUACGUUUCAUGCAUGUCGGGCUUUAAUGUCAUCCAAUUUUGAAGCCUUGAAAGCUUAUGUUCGGCAGGAGUUGAAAACGGAUCAACUGCAGGUAUAAUCUCAGGUAUUACAGUUAAAGCCGGAUUUCUGUCAGACUUGAAUGGAGUUUUUGUGUCUCUAGAUCGUUUAGUCACCCUCUCGCUCCUUCUUAGGAAAACAUUAUCCAUUCCUGAAUUUUGUGAUGAGGCAGCAGCUUUCCUUUUCUUAUCAGGCUUCACCUUUAAUCAAACAAUAGACACCAAGCAAAAUAUUAUCAAAUUUGUUGCAAUCGGAAUUUCUGGAAACCAUUCCUGAAACUAAAAUGUAUGUAUAUCAAACAAUUCACGUGAAGUAUAAUUCUAGUUAUGAUUUACCUUAUCUGCCAUCUUCCAGACUCCAUCUUUCCAUUCUCUAUGAAUUCGCAAAUCUGAAUGUUUGAAUAGAAUAGUUUCCAUAGAAGUAUAGAGACACACCGAGUAUGUGUUAUCACCAAGUACCAUGCUAAUUUGUCCGCUGCUCCAGCCAUUGUUGUAAAAGGCUUCUACCUUAUCCAUCAUCUCAAAGGAUUUUUGGUCACUAGUUGGUGUUGCAGGACGUAUUUUGUCAGCCGUGAUAGUAUCCUGAAGUUUCUGAAGUCUAUUAUGUUGGUAUGUGAAGAGUGUCGUGUACUCAACUGUCAGCUCCUCUAGUCCUUCACACAGUUUAAGAUCAACAACCUUUCCUGGAUACCAUAUUUCGUCAUCAGUAGACAAAAUCUCAACCUCUGCGCCUAUUUGAAAGUGAGCUAUACGCCUGCUUACUUCAACCUAUUAAAAAUGAAGAUUCAGUAACAUCAGCGGUUUUAAAUUGUUAGAAUAAUAAUUAAAGAUCAAAUAUACUCGAUGCAUACCUCGUUUGUUUCUGAAAAAAUCUAUAGCACUUGUCUGAAGAUGCUCUGUUUGCUGAGUAAUAGGCGGCAUCUUCGAAACAUAUGUGGAAACUAGCUCAGUAGUAGGUUCUGUAGUAUCCUUGAGAUUUUCUUCUGCUUGAUUCUGCUCUGAUGGUGUCUCAUCGGAUUGAUCUCCCUCACUUGUCUGAAGGUGCUGUGUUUGCGGAGUAAGAGGCUGUGUCUUCGAAACAUCUGUGGAAACUAGCUCAGUAGUAGGUUCUGUAGUAUCCUUGAGAUAUUCUUCUGCUUGAUUCUUUCUGCUUGAUUGUGUAUGCUCUCCUUCACUUGUAGAAAAAUAUUGGGUCGCAGUUUCUGUCUCACUCUAUAAGACAAAAGUAAAUGGUAAGAGUUAGUUGAAUAGAAAAAUAUUACAUAAACAUUUUAAAUAUUUCUUCUUACCAAAGCAUUCUUAUUUUCUUCAAUAACUAGUGCAAUUAGUGAAGACAAUGGAGAGGAAGGUGUGUGAUGCACAGCAUGCGUAUCCUCCUGUAGUAACAGUAAAAUAAAAGAGGUAGUUAUGAAGAAGUUUCUACAAUUUAAAAUUCAAGUUGUACUUAUGAAAGACAUUUCUAUGCUUACCUUUUUAUUGUUUGCUGAAAUGAUCUCAGUCAAUGGCUGUGUAGCCUCAUACGUUUCCUCUGUUACCGUCUGCAAAAAAAACAAAAAAAAAGUCAGGUAGGGGAUCAAAAACACGUACAAAAGCUUUCAAACAUUAGUUGAAAUCUCCAAGAUUUUUUGAACAUUUACCUGCUGUUUCUGAAUUGGAGUAAAAACUUGAGCCUCAAUACUCUUUGGAGAUAUUGGAGAAGAAGGUGUCUCAUUCAUUUCCAGUGUUUCUUUUUGCAAAACUUGAGUCUGAGCAGCAGGUGACUCAAUCACAAUCUGCAAAAAAUAUCAGGAAAGGCCAUCAUGAAUACAUUCAAUUAUAAUUUCUAGAGUAAAUAUUACCUCAUCAUCUGGUUUUCCUUCUUCUUGAUUAGUUUUGGGUGGCGUUUCAUCAGUAGAGGUUUGUGUUUCCUUCUGCCAAAAAUUAGAAAGGUCUAUAUAUGUAAAUCACCCAAAACUAAUUGUAAACUUCAACUGUCAUUGAGCAUAUACCUCUUUUGUCAGAUUAGGAGUAAAAACUUGAGUAUCAAGGGCAGGCGUGUCAUCCGAUGGCUCUCUCUCAAUCUGUAAAAAUUAUCACGAAGUCAAUCCAGAGUACGUUCUAAAGCUUCCAAACAUUAACUUAAAAAUCCAAGAUUUUUUUUUGACCAUGUACCUGUUGAGUCUGACUUGGAGUAUAAACGGGAGUUUCAAUACUCUUUGGAGCUAUUGGAGAAGAAGGUGACUUAUUCAUUUCCACUGUUUCUUUCUGCAAAACUUGACUCUGAGUAGCAGGUGACUCACUUGUUAAUUUCUCUCUCACAAUCUGCAAAAAAAUAUCAGGAAUGGCCAUCAUGAAUACAUUCAACUAUAAUUUCUAGAAUAAAUAUUACCUCAUCAUCUGGUUUUCCAUCUUGAUUAGGAUUGGAUGGCCUCUCAUCGGUAGACGUUUCUGUUUCUUUCUGUCAAAAAUCAGAAAAGCCUUUAUAUGUAAAAAAAAAUCACCCAAAACUAAUUUGUAAACUCCAACUGUGAAAACAAUAUCAUUGAGCAUAUACCUCUUUUGUCAGAUUAGGAGAGAAUACUUGAGUAUCAAGGGCAAGAGUUUCAUCAUCUGAUUCAUUCAUUGUCUCCUACAAAAAUCAAGAAUGCAUUCAAGAAUAUGUACAAAAGCUUCCAAAUAUUACUUCAAAACUCAACAAUAUUUUAUUGGUUACAUACCUUAUGUGUCAAAUUAGGCUGUUGAGACAUUGGAGAUAAAGGCGUCUCACUCGAUUGUUUCGUGUAAUCCUGCAAAAAUCAGGAAGGCAUUCAGGAUUUUGUACAAGAAUUUCCAAAUAUUUUCUUAAAAAUUUUUGAGCAUAUACCUCAUUUUGUUGAGACUUUGGAGAUGCAGCUGAUUCAAUCAUUGUCUCCUGCAAAAAUCAGGAAUGCAUUCAAGAAGUACAAAAGCUUUCCAAAUAUUACUUCAAAACUCAACAAUAUUUAUUGGUUACAUACAUCAUGUGUCAAAUUAGGCUGUUGAGACAUUUGAGAUAAAGGUGUCUCACUCGAUGGUUGCGUGUGAGACAUUGGAGAUAAAGGUGUCUCACUGGAUCGCUGUUUGUCAAAUAUUAGGAAGGCAUCGAAUAUGUACAAGAUCUUCAAAAAAAUACUUGAAAAUGCAAAUGUAAAAGAACAUGUUUUGAGAAUUUACCUUUUGUGUCACGUUAGUGGGAAAAACAUUGUUGUUUCCUUCCAACUCUGACACACGAGCUCUAAGAUGUAUGUUUUCUUCUUCUAGUAAUGACAUUCGAUCCUUCAUGCUCUUCAGAUUCUCCUCCAUUACCGUGAUGAUCCUGUUCACUUUUUCAUUUACUGAAUCCAAAUCAAUCGGAGUAGAAGCUUGGCCAGUCUCCUUAUUUGCCAUCAUUUGAAUAAGAGCAUCCAAUGUGUCAAAUGUGUCUACACACCUAUUUUCCCAGUCAUCGGCUGUAAUCUUGUACCCUUUCUUUGUUACAUCUUUCACUGUUUCCAGCUCGUCACUAUAUUUUUCUUCAAUGGAGAUAUCAUCUUCUGGAUCAUGAGGAAUAGAAGGUAGUAUGCAAUGGACCUUCAGCUGAGAGUAUUUAAAAAAAGACCAAUGAGAAACAUAUUAAAAAGAAGAAGCCAAAUAAACUGAGAAACAUAUACUUGGAAAAGCUUACCUUUGUAUCAGCUUCAACCUGUAAAACCCUAUCAAGUGAUGGAUUCUCUACCUCAGUGUAUUUUUCACACAAGUAAGUCGGCCCAGGAACCUCAACUGUUGGUACACACUUACUGAACUUAUCCCUUAGCAAAGGAAUCGACUCUAGUAUCCAAAGAAGGAAUACUAGAGGAUAGCCUUGCAACUCAAAUUUGGAUUUAUUCUCCAAAUGAUUCGCGACAGCGUUUUGAAUUGACUUCAGGAGCACAAUGUAAGCCUCUUUUCCCCAUGGAUAUGUCAUAUCCUGUGCAUUUUUCGCAUAUUCCAAAGGAAAACUCCCUCCUUUGCUCUUCCGCAAUAAUAUGCUCUCUACCAGGAUGAGCAUUGCGAGGCAUAUUCUCUCCUCAGAAGCAUCUUCUCUUGUGUUUCUGAGCUGGUCCACCACGUCACUUAACUUAUGACUACGCCCCUUUAGCAAUUCCCAAUUAAAUCUCUCGGUUUCCCUUCGUGGUCCUUCUAAUGCACCACUACAUUUCAAGCCUGUCAUCAUAUGAAAUUCUCUUAUAGAGAACCUCAUUGGCUGCGCACCGAAAUGGAACCAGGCUUCAUUCUCCUUGACAGAAACGAUGCUUCUAGUGAGAAUAGCGUUGACUAUCUUUGCUGAUAACUUCAAUCAUCUCUCACUGAGCUUCAUUACAGGUCCCAGAAAUGAUCCUCGGACUCUUAUCAUCUCAUCUGGUUUUAGGAUGCUUUUGACAAUAGAGAUAUAAUCUGAACCAGCGUAUUGGUUGAUUGCUGACUUUUCCUUUGGCUGUGAACCAAUAGGAUACUUCAGCUCUGGCAGUGCUAGUUUUAGAGGUACUGAAUCUCCCAUCAUGUUUCUAUCCUGCGUAAACAAGGAAAAAAAAAAUUUCAAACUUUUCUGGAAGGCUUUCCUGAAAUAACACAACAAAUGCUUCCUGAAAUUCUUAUAAACACUAGACAGUUUCACAAGCAACAAAAGACUCAUAAGCAAAUUCAAGACCCUAUCAAAAAUAUCAACAUUCCUAAUCAAAACAAGACUCCAAGCAAAAAAGUUUCAAAAUGUGUUACCAUCCGAGUUUCAAUUUUCAACAUUUAAUAGAUGCAGCAACAAAUGCUUUCUGGAAAUCUUCUAAAAACAUUCAAUAGAUGCAGCAAGAGACAACAAACUUUUAUUUUAUAAAUUUGUACAAACACACAGAAGGUUGAAUCUGCAACAUACCUCAAAGAGAUGAAUUAUGCUCCAACAACUUUGUGUUCCCACAAUUCAAAAGUCUUUCAUUUGCUUCGCUGGUUAAUAAGAAAGAGUAACAAACAAAUCAAAAUCAAAACGCAAGCUUCCCAAAUUUUAAUUCAAAAACCCUAAUUUUAAAAAGCUACAUAGUGAUUUGUGUCCGAUUUUGAGAGUAGAGAGUGUGACGCUGAUGAUUAGAUAGCCGGAGAAGAUGAUUAGCGAGCCGGAGAAUAUGAUUAGCGAGCGGGAGAAGAUGAUUGGCGAGCCGAAGAAAAUGAUUAGCGAGCCGAAGAAGAUGACUAGCGAGCCGGAGAAGAUGAUUCCCGAGUCGGAGAAGAUGAUUCCCGAGCCAGAGACGACGAUUCCCGAGUCGGAGACGACAGUGCCGGUGAGGGUUUGAAGAUUCCGGAGAGGAGACGACAGGUUUCGCGAUCGAAGGAAAUGAAAU
This 74187-nucleotide long non-coding RNA is filed under the name Brassica napus (rape). RNAcentral describes it as "long non-coding RNA (BNAP_LNC004587)". The stretch from base 46914 to 47031 matches the Rfam family "MIR9563 microRNA precursor family". Lineage: Eukaryota; Viridiplantae; Streptophyta; Magnoliopsida; Brassicales; Brassicaceae. The record is from RNAcentral.